Molecule: long non-coding RNA, 53925 nt
Filed under: Eucalyptus grandis
Lineage: Eukaryota; Viridiplantae; Streptophyta; Magnoliopsida; Myrtales; Myrtaceae
Description: long non-coding RNA (EGRA_LNC004029)
Source: RNAcentral
GGGGAGGGCGAGAGGAAGGAGAAGAAGAGGCUUCUCUGCGCCCUCCCUCUUUCCGACCGGCAACCGACGAACCACCGCACCGGACCGGCGAGAGGACCGCGAGACCUAGCUCCCUCCCUCUUUCCGACCGGCGAACCACCGCACGGGACCGGCGAGAGGACCGCGACCUCCUUCCCUCUCUCUCUCUACCCUCCCUCUGUCCGACCGACGAACCACCGCACGGGACCGGCGAGAGGACCGCGACCUCCUUCCCUCUCUCUCUCUGCCCUCCCUCUGUCCGACCGACGAACCACCGCACGGGACCGGCGAGAGGACCGCGAGCAAUCGACGAACCACUACACGGGACUGGCGAGAGGACCGCGACCUCCCUCUCUCUGUGCCCUCCCUCUUUCCGACCGGCGAACCACCGUGAGCAAAUAAGAUGUUUUUGUAGAGAUCUCCCAUCGUCGCCUUCAUCUUCUUUUCCCCCCUUUUUUGUUUUGUUGGUUUUUUCCCCUAGUGUUCUGAUGAUGGAUCUGGAGUUGCAUAUGCUCGACGGCUUCUUCGGCGACCUCCCUGAGGCCAGCGACGUCAUCGGCGCUUGCUCCUCGACGAACGCGUUGUCAUCGUCUCCAGGCUCGGGGCUCUCGUGGUUCAUCGAGAACAUCCUGAUGAAGGACAACGAGGACGGUAGAGUUGCCGGUGGCGGGAUUAGGGCUGAUUCGAGCCAGGAGUUCUGCGAUAGGUUCCUCGCUGACGUGCUCGUUGACUCCCCCGGAGAUGGGUCCGCGGAGAUAGCUGACGGGUCCAGCGACAAGGAGGAGCCUGGAUCGUCAUCCGACGGCUGGGUCAAGGCUGCGAAGGUUGAUGGGGCUAACGUUGGUGGUGAAGCCUAUGAUCCUGCUUCUAAGAAGCUCAGGAGGUACGUUGAUUAGGUUCUCUUGCACUUCUCGUGUGAUUAUUAAGCUUAUUAUAUGAUGCAUUCUGAUUGCUCAGGUGUUUUCACUAAAACCUGAGAAGGCAAUUUCUGAUGCCAUUUUACGACAAGCAAAAAGGCCUUGCAAUUAUUACUGUUGUGAAAGUUGGUAUGAUGGUACCGGCCUUGUGGUUGCUCGUAGGGAAGACGGCUCAUCGUCUCCACCUUCUACAAUUUCUUCAUGUGGAAUAGGGUGGGGAGCAAAGGUAGGCUCGUUUUAUCGUAUCCCUGGAUUUUGAUUUCAUCAACCUUAAGGGCCAAGCGUCGAAACCAACAAGUGUUUUUGGCUUUCAUGCAAUCUGCAGAUUAACCACGUGUAUCAACGUGCUCAAAAUGAUUGUUUAGAUAAUAAACAUCAAUUUGAUUUUUUACUCCAUCCGGAAUGCUUGACAUAUUGUCUGCUUCAUUUCCAUGGUCUCUGUGAGAAUUUUCCUUUGUAAAUGUCUGGUCUGUCAUCCUUCUAUUUCAUGGAAUGUGCCAUUUGUUUCUCCUUUCUGGAACUCUAUCUAAGAACAGUAUUUCUCAGGAUGAGAUUUGGACUUUUUGUUUGAUUAUCAUGUUGCCAUUGAGUUUUCAAGUUCCUUUCUGCAUCUCUGUUCCCUUUCUCUGAAUUUGUGUUUUGCUUUAUUGUGGAAGUGGGAGAAGUCCCUGAAUACCGACACAAGUUGGUUGACACUCUAUCCUCUUAAAACAUACUCAAGAAAAGAAAUCUAGUAGUAAUAUCAGAAAACCAAGUUGUACUAUUUUCUGUGUUCAUAGCACUCAAUAAAAAAUCCUGUCUUUUCCGCAAUAAAAUUGAUGAAGAGGAUUUUUUUUUGGUUAUAGCAUUUAUAGCGCCCUAUGCUUUUGAAAUCUCAAAUGAAAACAAAACAGUAGAUUCUACAAAAGAACUCUAGAGAAUCAAGUUCGUGGGAAUCAAUAUAACAAUGAAAUCAAAGGUUUAGCGUUUCUCUGGAGAUUAGAAAUCAACCUUUGCUUAUUAAGGAGGGAGCAACUGCCGCAUAAGUUAGCCUCUAUUGGAGCUACAAGGAUUCCAGGAAAAUUAAGCAUUGUAGGCAUGCAAAAUGCCACACCCUCCUGCUCUAUAAGCAAAAUGGAUAUUUGGUCACAGUGUAGCUCGCUGAUAUAUGCUUAUCACAGAGGAAUUUUUGUUUUUUUGGCUCUUUAUUGCACACUACAUCUCGUGCCUCAAAUGUCAGUUUAGCUGUCAAUAGUUCCCAUAUUUUUCAUUAAUCCUCUCCCUGCAGAACCAUUUAGCUGUAUAGGACAUGGCAUUUCUAAAUUAUUUGUUUAUGGAAUGAGGAAUUUUUUCUUACAGUACUGCGUGUGGGGGAUUGCAAAUCGAUCUGACUUUGACAAUACCCCUGCUUGGCUGCACAGAACUUUGCUUUAGAUUGUUUUCUUGAAUUCAAGUAUUGCGCUUGCUGGCUUUUCUAAAGUGAUUUACUAUCCAUGAUGUAUAGGAAAUUUUCGUCUGAUCUCUCUAUCUAAUUAAAUUGUAGUGGAAAAAUUUAAGUGCAAAUCAUCUUUUCAACUAUGAUACCAUCUGCAGAAAAAAUGCAGCGCGUUUGACGCAGUCCAUCUCCAUCUCCAUUGACAUUGUUCAAUGCUCUGUUUUCCCGCUUGAUAUAAUGGUGUUCAAUGCUCUGUUUUUCCGCUUGAUAUAAUGGUGUGUUUUUAAUGCCUGUUACUUCUAUGCAUUAAAUUGAGAUAAUCAUUUACGCUUUCAAUCAAACCAUGAACAUAUUCUUUACAUUAUCAUUUAUUGCAGAUAAUUUAUUUGUCUGGUGCUUCCAGUUCCAGUGUUAUAAACAGCUAGUACUCAGUUAAAUAACACCUAAUUUCAAGUGAUAUUGGUUUCCAGGUGAGAGAUGAACUGGAAGAACUUCUUGACGAUGAUGACGACAUGGCAGACCUUUAUUUGUCGAGGAAACUCACUGGAGGGUCUUCUCCUGUCAGCUGGUCUGGAGCUCCAGAUUGGUUCUUUGCCUCUCCUACAACUGGCUCAAAAUUAUCCAGAACAAGUAGGGCAAGUGCGGUAACAGCAAGAGAGGAAAAUGAUGUUGAGGAGCUUGAAAUGUUGCUGGAGGUUAGAUAAAUCCAAUCAAUGGUCUCAUUUUGCUCAUUGAGAGUCCAUAAGUAAUGCUGCUGCUUUUCUGCAGGCAUAUUUCAUGCAAAUUGAUGGCACUUUAAACAAAUUGUCAACGGUAUGCAUUGUCAUUGAUAUCCUUGUACGAGUUUGUUUGAUUAUGUUGCCUCAUAAAUUCUCCUGCAGCAAUUUAAGGAAAAUUUCUUAGAAGAUAAUUAUCUUGGUAGACUAAACUGUACUAUUCCUACAAGCUAAUUCUUUGUAUUCUCUUUCAGUUGCGCGAAUACAUUGAUGAUACUGAGGAUUACAUCAAUAUUCAGGUAAGCUUUUGGAGAAUUUGGAACCAUAUCCUCAACUAUGUGACAUGUAAUUUAAACUAUUUUUCUCUCACAGAACAUCAUUAGACUAUGUAGUAGUAACUAGUGACAUUUUGAUCUGUUUUUUUUGUCUUGUUACAGCUUGAUAAUCAUCGGAACCAGCUUAUACAGGUAGGAUUCACAAGAUACACAAAGCUCCACUAGGUAUUUUGGAAAUUGACUAAUGUUGGCACCCUAUGUUAUCAAACAAAUGAAUCUCCAUUGCACGAAAAAUUCAUGCUCAUUGCUAAUUUCUACUAAAUUUGAACUGGCCAUAGCUAGAGCUCUUCCUCAGUUCAGGAACUCUGUGCUUGUCUGUAUAUUCUCUGGUAGCAGCGGUAUUCGGCAUGAAUAUUCCCAACGUGUGGCAUGAAGGUCAUGGUUAUGUCUUCAAAUGGGUAUGUAAAUCUCAUCCCGAUUGCCUUCCCUGCGAAAGCCUAAUCCUUAAGUCUCACACGACAUUUUGUCUGAGAGCAAGACAUGAUGGAUGGUCUGGUUUUAUUCAUGUUAACGUUCACUGGGGAAACUCUCAGGUGGUCAUUCUCGCCGGAGUUUUGUCUGGAUCCAUUUUCCUGUCAAUAAUGUCCUACGCUCGGCACAAAGGUCUGGUUGGUUCUUGAAGCCAAAUUGAUUCAUUCGGGAGGGAGGUUUCUGCAAAGCUUGAAAUGUCUUCUCAGGCUACCGAAUUUAGGAUCCAUCCGAUGCGCCAGCUCUAGGACAUCAUGUGGACGACAUCACCCUAUUAGUUUCCCACAAAUUGUACCAACCCACGCCAACAAUGUCCACGAGAUGGAUGAGAUGGAAUGGACGCAUAUCUCCCGGUCAAACUCACCAUUCCCUGCAGGUGGUUAGAAACUAGCUGCCAUUGAAAAGUCCAAAGUAGCAAUUGGGGUCAAUUCAAGUGAAGACGAGUCGUUGAUGUUGUGCCAUUGAUGCUGUGCUGCUUGUUAUACGUACAGCUACAGUAAAGGUACUCAUCUAUAUAGCUAUUUUUCCUUUUAAACUGUGGAGUUGUCCUCUGGACUGAUUUUUGGGGUAUGUAUACAUUGCUAUGCAAAAAAACAUUGAUAGUAUCCUAUGAUAUUAACCGUUUUAAUGUGAUAGUAAUUUCUCUAUUUUUAUUAAGUCCUAAGUGGAUGCAAUAAUAGUCUCGGGACAUAGAAAAACUGCUCAUUUUGCAAAGGAUCUUGUUCACUCUCUUUCUUUCUUCCUCAUUUGUCUCUGUUGCUGAGGUGAGCUAUGUAGUCUAGCUUGUAUGGCAUGGGUAUCUGUCCUUAGGCAGUCAUGUAAAAGACUAUUCUCCGAUUACUUAAAAUACUCUUCUAGUUAUAUAUUCAAUAAAAUGAUGAUACUCUUUACCUUUUCAAGCUAUGUGAAGCUGUUUUCAUUAGAUCAUUGUUUGAAAAAGUUUCUACAAAGAGCAUUUCUUGAGAAGCUUGCUUGUUGCCCAUUUCUUAGUGCCAAAGAAAGGGGAAAAGGGAGAGACAUUAGUUGAGAAAGCUUCUGCAGGGAUAUUUUUGAAUAAGCAAUCAUUUGAGAGAACACCAAGCUUGAUUCGUCAUAGAUCCUACUUAAAUUGAGAUGCUCAUAGUAAAAAGUUGGAGAGGUUUAGAAUUUGUAUUUCUCAUUUUCCUAUCAUUUCAUUGCCAGCAGUCUGUGGGGGCUCGUUCCGCUUUCUGAAGUUCUUUAAUUGUUCUCAACUUUUUCAUAAAAUAAUUGGCAGGUGCUUUUGUUGGAUGCUCCCUUCAAGGCAGUGUGGUGACAACGCGGACAAGAGAAAAUUGCCAAUUUUAUGGCAGCCCGUCUAUAAAUGCAUUGUACAUACUACUUGGUUCAUUGCCGAGGCCACCAGCUGCUGCCAUCCUUUUUAACGCACUCGCAGACAUGUAUCAGAAGCUGGAGUGGUCAUCACCAUAUUAGUGCCGUACAGCUUGGCCAAUUGUCUCCGAUACUGCCUAUGGAAGUUCUUAACUGCAAUUCUUGCCACUGUAAAGUUGUCUAUUCUUAUCAAGUGUAUAGCAUGUUCAAACUCAUUGCUUCCCUCUCUUCGCCAGGGGGUUUCGGGAGAGGAAUAUGUAAAUAGUUAUAAUUGCUGGGAUCAAUCUUUGGAAUGUACAUAUAGCUAUACAUUUCAUAUUUGGUGUUUGCUCAGGGUAUUGGGGAAGACAAGCAAAAACCACCCUUCUUUUCAAAUUACUUUGAAGAUUGCUUGGGCAUGUCCUAGAUGAUGGAGGAAAUUUUAUGUGAUUGUUCAUGAUGAACCCAGAAAAACAGGUUGCGUGGUCACGACCUGAUAUACAGCUCUUCUAUGGAUCUUGUUCGGUACUGCACCGCGCAUUAGACUCGAGUCAAUGCAGUGUAAUGGAAGUCCACCUCCCCCCCUGUUUCGAAGUAGUGCAUACAGAUCAUUGCGAUUUCUUGUUAAUUAUCUUGUUGUGCUAGAUCUAUGUUCCCAUGCAAUUUCUCGUUAGUCGUCAAAUGGUGGGGGAACCGAGUGUGAUUAGGAAGGUGGUAAUGUUAAGAAGGAUUAGGAAGUGGCUCAAUAAAUAGACCAAGACUAGGCGUCCAAGAAAUGAACCCUACAAAAAUUUAUGUCCUGACCUAACGUAUAAUCGAAGAUUGACCUGAGAAACCAAAGCGAGAAUGGAGGCAUGAGGUUGCGGAGAACCUGUGGUUUGUUGCUUGUUAAAUUCAUCUCAUUGAAGACAAUGGCAAUGAGAGAGGGAACACGGUUUGCUCCGGCAAAUUUUCCAUCUAGAAUUGAGAGCCCGAUUGUUCAGAUGGUUAAUGGCCAGAAGCCUUUUUCAUCUACAUGUCUCUGCCUGACUAACGUAGGACUGGAACAUAUUAACUAGCACCUCGUGUGGAAUCUGCACUUGUAGGUCAAGAGCAGUUUGUCAUAGCAGCAACAAAGUCGUGAUAAACAACCUGGCGAACCAUAUCAGGAAGUGUCUGCUGGUUUGAUGCUCUCACUAGUCACAGCUCGAAACUAAAAACAUUGCCAUGUACUUGGAGAUCAUGGAAUGACAAGUUUAGCCUGAUCAACUAAGGAGCCAGCAAAAGUGAAACCUCUCCAACACGGCACAUGUAAGCACUCUUAAGAUCAUAUGGAUUGAGCUUCGCAACCAACGGCCCAAAGGCCGGCCACGCACAAAGCGAAAACAAGGGAAAAUUAAAGAUUCUGAGCUUCUCGGCUUGCACAAAUUUGAAAGAAAAUGUUGUUGACACCUCAAUUUUAAUUAGGUUAAUUUUAUUUUAUUAAUUAAGUUUUUAUUUUAUUUAUUUUGUCUUUUUCGGAAUAAUAAACAAAUAACAAAAACAACAAAAAAUAAAUAAAAACAAAGGAAAAAGCAAAAGCAACAUCCCCCUUUUUUUCGCGUGGGCUCGCACGACCUGGCCCCCCCCCCCCUUUUUCUCCUUCUUCUUCCUUCUUCUUCUUCAUCGCUCCUUCCUUCUCCGCCUCUGUAGUUCACGCGCAGCAACGACGACGCGCUCGAAGACAACCUAUGGCCGAGGAGGGUAGGCCGACGUCGGCCAGAAGAGACAGAUCUCGGGCGCCAUCAUGGAUUUCCUUCAAUGCCGAGCACGCCUUGUGGAGGAGCUCGGAUGGGAUGUUGGUUCGGCCGGCGGAGGCGGUUCGGCGUGCGAAGAUUGGCGGUCGAAGCUCCAUCGACCAGCCGCCCCCUCGCCUAUAAAUAGGCUUCUCCCGACGAUGGCAAAGCACGGCGAGCUCGGAGACUUUCCCUUGAGAGACUUCAAGGGAGACUCAAAGAGCGAGCGCGUGAGAGAAAUCCGGUCGCGAACUCGAACGACCUCCCCCCGAGAGACUUCGGGGGAGGCCGACGACAAGCGAACCCGGAGAGAGAGGAACCGAAACAGAGAUCGAAAGCUUGCGAGCACCGGAAGCUUCCCUCGAGAGACUUCGAGGGAGGUCCGAACGCCCGCAAGCCCAGAUCUGUGAGCAAUCGAGGCCGGAAGAGAGGAGAGAGUUCCAGAUCCGCGAGGAGGGGCUGGAGAGAAACCAGAAGGAGCCGCCUCGAGCUGUACCGCCGUCCUCUGACACUGAUUGCUUCAGCACCUACCCGCCGUUGCCAUCCCCUUUCGUCAGAUCUGCUGCAGCGAAGCUGCUGCCUGUUGCCAGCUACUGCUUCCGCCCCCUCGACGCAGAUCCAUCCCCGUGGACUUACUCCCCCGCCGUGCCGCGUCGACCAGAGCCACGCCAGGCACCGACUGAUGCAGCUCACCGCAGCUGCCUGUCGCCGCCGUUCGCCGCGUCGCCGGUGUCGAGUCAUCACCCAGUGACGUCCCAGCCAAGCCCCACCUCGGCGCCGCAAAUCGUCGAGCUCUAGGGUUCCCAAAAUCCGGUUCUACGAAGGAGAAGCCGGGUCGGAAAGCGGGUCGGGCAUGGGUCAGCGAUCGGGUAGGGUUUCCCCCCCGAUGUGGGCUUGCGUGUGUGGGCCGGUUAAUCCCUGGAUUUUUUUUUUUAACGAAAAUGGGCCUUGGUUAGUUCAUGGGCUUGGAAAAAGAAAAAAAGGGAGAAAAAUCUGAGUCGGGCCCGCGUUGCGAGCCCGUCCGCGUGCGGGUCGCCGGCCCGGGUCGAACCCAACCCACGGAUCCGACCCGGGCCGGUUUUUAUAAUAUUUUGAAUAAAUAAAUAAUUUAUUUUCCAAAAAAAUAUAUAUAUAUAUAUUUUCUUUCGAAAAAUAUUAAAAAAUAUUUUAAAUUUUCAAAAAAAGACAAAAAUAUCCAAAAAAUAUUUUAUUUCCAAAAAUACUAAAAAAUGUUUUAAUUUCCAGGAAAUCGAAAAAUAAUGAUAAAAAUAUUUUAUUUUCCAAAAAAUCAAAAAAAAUAUUUCAUAUUUUCCACAAAAUGCCAAAAAUAAAAAAAAAGCCAAAAAUUCAUGAAAAAGCCAAAAAAUUCAUAAAAAGCCAAAAAGACUUGUAUUUUUCCCCAAAAAAAAUACCAAAAAAUCCCUUUUGUGUCCAAAAAAAUUAGAAAAUGACUUAAAAAAUGUUUGUCCUUCCAAAAUGCGUGGAAAAUCCCUCGAACAUCCAAAAAGCCUCAAGGUUUAAACAAGAUUAGGUACCGAAAGGGCAUUAGUGAUUAAUUAGUGUAAUCAAGUCCCCGAUCCUAAUUUCUCUGGUUGCGCAGGAGCGAGUAUUUCUCCCGAUACUUCGCUUGGGUUUCUAAUCAACCUACCCCAAAUUGAUUAGUGGCGACUCCAUUUUAAAAAUCAACUUGCAGGUUAAAAACUUAGACUAUUAAAGUCGUGAAUUGGUGGACUUGGGAGAGUCCGGGCAUAAUUAAAUUCAGCCGAGCCAUUAGCCUCCUUUAGGCGCUCGCCCCUGAUGUGGGCGCCGAAAAAAAAAGAGGUCGCGACAGCUUGGCGACUCCGCUGGGGACAUUUGAAGACUUAGGCCAUUUUAUCUUUGUUUAAAUGUCUUGCUGAUUUGGUUUUUUUCUUUUGUGCAGGGUAAUAGCUUAAAGUUUUAUUCUGUUAAAAUAAAAUGUUUUGUGAUUAUAAAUUGCCGUGUAUCCUUAAAUGUUUUAGCACUACACAUGACACACACAACCCGGCCGCCGGACCUGGGCCGCCAUAGGAUUUCUAAGAUGGUGUUAAGAAAGAUACGACCUCGAACGCGAGACUGCGAUGUAGAGGUUGCCUUUCUUUUCCCCGAAUUUCUUAGCCGAGGUUAGGAGGGUAUGCUGCUAACGCGAGACUGCGACGGGCGGAUAUCCUUUUAAUCUCAACAAUCCUUCUCAGUUAGAAAUCGAGCUACACGUCUCACGCGCAUGUCUUUGUGCUUGCCAUUUUUCUUUAAAAAGCAAAAGUAAUUUCUUUACUGUUACUCAGUCUUUUUAUUUGGCCCAUGGCAAUUUAGGAUAAGCUUUUCAAGUCCCAGUUUAUAUGCGAUGGGGAAAGACGAUAUCCAGUUCAUUCCUACUCCCAAGGCGGAGCUUUUCAGAUGGUGGGGUCAGUUAGAUCAGUUUGCCCAAGAGCGCGUGAAGGCCAAAGUCGGUCAUCUCCUAUCGUUGAUUCAAAUCACUGUUCGUCCUGAAGUCAUACAAGCCAUGGCACAUUUUUGGUGCCCGAAGACAAUUACUUUUAUAUUCGGUAGGUUUGAGCUAACCCCAACCCUGGAAGAAUACAGCAUCAUCACUGGAAUGCCUCUCGAGAAAAAGCUUGUCAGGCCAUCGACAGGCGCCCUCCCAUGGCGUGGGUUAGCACGACUUUUAGGAACUGAAAUCCAUGUCAUGAGGCAAAUUCUUGAAGACAACCAUAAUACCUGCCCACUAGAAUUUAUGAAUGCCUGUUUCCAAAAUCAGCCUAUGACCCAGAAAAUUGAGAUUUUCCUCCUGGCCUUUUUCGGGCUCAUCAUCUUCCCCCAUCAAAGAAAUGCCAUAACUCCCAAGAUGGCAUGGAUAGUUGAUCAGAUCUUAAGAGGGGGGAAUUAUGUCAACAUGAUUUUAACUGAAACAUUCUUGUCCUUUAAUCGUUUAAAGACAACUCGGAGAAAAUCAUGCGAGCCUCUCCUGAAAUUUUACAAGUCUGGUUCUUUUCUCACCUAAGCGAAUUUCGAGACUUCAUGCGAUCGUCUGAAACAAAUGCUUUUGAAAAUCCAUUACAAAAAUUUAUGGUUUUAGGACCGUAUAUUCCCAAUCAAAGUUGUUUAAAUUGGGUAAGCUUCCUAAGAGACCCAGCUCCUGAGGCAUUCCAAUGGUGUGCUGGUUGGUUCCAUGAAAAGAGGGCUUGCUUUGCUUACAUACGCACCUGCCCAAUUCCGUUGCUCGGCCUCACCGGCGCCAUUCCCUAUUACCCGUAUCGGGUAGCACGACAAUAUGGAGCCCUUCAGGAGAUUCCACCACCUUUCAAGAUGAUGAUCCCUCCAGUUCUUUUCAACACAAACCGUGACUAUGCAUUCGAAAUUGCUACCGCUGAGGAAACCUGGAGCAGCUGCCAUCGCAAAAGGAUUGUGAUACCUGAAGGGCUUGAGGGAGAAGAAAAAGCCCACCACGCCUCCAUGUCCUACAUCCACAACCAUCGCAUCCCGAAAAGAUGGAAGCCAUUAGUCCCUCACUCAAUCAGCGAGAGCAGCCAACACGAGCAAGCAGAGCUCAUGGAGAGGGAUUUGGGAAUGGACUGGAUGCACACCUCAGAGCCAGUUCAAGGAAGCAGGCGUUCUCGCAAGAACAAGGCUCCCCGUCGCAUAUAAAUUGGCAAUCAUGUGCCCCUUAGUAUUAAUAGUGUGAAAGUUUUGUCCCAUUGUUUAGGGACUCUUGUUUAAUAUCUAGUAUUUCAUCCUGUCUUUUCAAUUUCAAGUUCUAGAUGUUAGGAGUUGGCAGUCUAUAAAUCCUCUUUUGAUAAAUAAGAAAGCAGUUAGACCAUUGCCAUGGGUCAAUCUUUGUUUACUGUCGUGCUCAUUCAUUGUUUUCACCACGAACAGGUAAUUAUGAAUCGCCGGCCACUAAUCGCCCGCGAAUGGCCUCAUGCAAUAGGGCCCGAUCAAAGUGAUGUACAAAAUCGUCCCAUUAACAUUGAAGACGGCGUGGGACAGAUGUCCAUUGUCCUUCAACAACUCUCGAGACAAAUGAAAUCCACUCAAGUCGAACCCAACUCUGUAGUUGCCUUAAACACCGUCAUGACACCCGCAAAUUUGCCAGAAAAUAGCCAGUACCAUAGACAGUUUGAAAGGAUCAUGAAAAAGUUAAGCCAGCUGCAGGAGCAGAAUCCCAUGGACCUGUCCAAUUACACCGGCAUUGAGAUCUCUGAAAAACUCAAAGCACCUGAAUGCGAAAGGUAUGCUGAUACCUCCCGCCCAGAGACCUACUUGCAGGCCUACUUGGUCCGAAGGAUGAUUCAAUCGUACCAAUCGAGCUUGACUGGCCCUGCCUUACGAUGGUACAUUAUCAGGAAGAUUAGUCCCCUUAAAACCUGGAGGGAACUAAUUCAUGUUUUUCACCAAGAGUAUAAUCUUGACAUCACCUUGCCCUACGAAGAACUGAUGAUCGUGGAGCACGAGGAACCGUUAGUCGCUGAGAUAGGAGAAGAGCAUGUCAAUGAAGCCUUGCAUGAUAAAUGGGCAGCUGAACAACACCUUGUUACUGGAAGAUUUCCCACUAGGAAAGGCAAGGAGCCUUUGUACGAGAUCAAAGACACAGAGCCUGUUCAAGACCGGGGCACGACUGGACAACUCCCCAAGCUUACUUCAAGAGCUAGGGUCCAAAGAAUACCAACCCCUAUCAACCUGGGAAGUGAAUCAGAUAGUGAAACUCCAAUGUCUCUCACUUCCUUUGACAGAAUCGAGCUGGCAAAACGAAGGGCCUUACUCAAAAGAUCUGGACCAGGGGCCAAGAAAAGAAAGCCUAAGCAGAUCAAUGCAGCAUCUGCCGACGAGCCACCGCACCAAAGCUUCGAGCAUUCCCAAGAAUACAACUUUGAAGGCUACCAUCCCCAAGAGUACAACCCUGAAGACUUCCCGGCCCUAGAAUACAAUCCCAAGGACUUCCAGCGUUAUUUCGACAAUGAAACUGACGAUUCAUCGUAUAACUGUUUCCUACUCUCACCCGGAGAUGAAGGCCCGUCAGAAGAGGAAGCAUACGUCUUUAUCCGCUACGAUCCUAACGAAGUACUAAGCUCGUCCUUUGACCAUGAGGAUAGCUUCAAUACUUCAUCCUCAUUCGGAAAUUUUGACCCAGAAGAAAGCAAUGGGGUAAUCUCGGUAGAGUCCAGCUUCCCUGAAACAGAAAAAUUCACCACUACAAUGAAUAUGCAGUGGGAAAACCAGUGGUCUAGCCAAGACAUACCAGGCUCGUCUUGCCCACGUAGGAUCAUGACCCCCAUAGAAAUGUGGAUACCCAAUCUCCGCAAGUAUAACGGCAUGACUUGCCCCGUGGCCCACUUGCAGUACCUCCAUGCUGAAAUGAGUCGAUACUAUGGCCCGAUGUCAUUCACAACUCAGGCUUUCCAAGAAAGUCUUACGGGGUCUGCAUUACAAUGGUUCAUCACAGCAGAUAUCUACCUCAUGAGAGAUUGGAAUGAGCUGUCUUCUGCAUUCCUGCUUCAGUAUCAAAGCCAGAUUGGGACUGAAGUGCCUUGUCAGAACUUGGUUCAUUUUAGAAGAAGACCAAUGGAGGAUUUUCAAGCAUAUGCAAAGAGGUGGGAAGCUUUCAUGAUGCAAAUCUACCCUCAACUGGCUGAAGAAGAAAUGAUAAAGUUGUUCAUAGGGACUUUGCCUCGCGAGCAUCGUUGUUGGUUGCAUGGGUUGUACUUCCAUAGCCUCAAUGAAGUGGUCCUUUCAUGUGAAUACUUCGAGUCUACUGGAGGCGAAGAAUUCAAAGACGCUUAGCUUCAAGACCAGCACUAUCAAAGCGCUCCUUUACACAGGGGUUUUCAUGAUUUUUACUUGUUUUUAUAAUUUCAUGUUUCUCAUCUUGUCUAGUGUGCUACUGUUGUAUUUUCCAUUCCAAGUACUCUAUUGUACAGUUCUAAUAUUUUGUUUUAAGAGCAUGAGGCGGUACUCCAAACCAGCCCAGUGAUGUUAUCCAACCAUGAAAAGAAAAUAUCAUCCAAGGAAAAUACUGAGGGCUGGGCUUCCUCAUGCUUUUUCUCCCCCAAAGACGUAUUUUGAAAAUAAAAAAUAUUUCAUUAUCUAAAAGCUUUUGUCAAAACAAGAUGAUAAAUUUAAGCACGUUUGUCUUUCUAGCCCUCUCGCUUUAUGUUUCUGAACAUCAUCCCCUUUGAUUUAGUGUGACAAAAGGUAUUUGAAACUAGCACAUUGUGUGAACAGACCAAACUCGAGAACACAUUUUCAAGAAAGCAGGGGCAAACAGAAAGGAGCAUCCCGUUUCCAAAAAGGGGUAAGUCUUAUUCCCUUAACAUAAUAGUGAGAAUGACAACCCCUCUCUUCUAUUUACAGGAAACGAAAAUAUGACGUAAUAGGUACAGGCAUACGGUUAAAAUCAAGCCGUCCCUAGGAGCUCUGUACACUCCACCUUGCUCCUGCCCAACUCUUUCACAAGCCAGAGCAAUAUCCUUUCCCCACAAUGUGCCUAAGCAACCAGAUGUUGUGGUUUCAUCAGCGGGACUGCCAGCUUCGACAAGCCCAGAAGCACAAGGAAGGGAUCUCUUCUCUUUCUUUGAAUUGGCUACUGUCAACAGGGAAGAAAUCCAGACAGUUGAAGUGGUCUCUAGCCCCUAUUCAAAAUGAGGACCUAGAAACCUGACUUCCUAUUCAGACGCAUGCUCUCGCAAGAAGUAAUUCCCAUCAGAGAAUUGGAGGUUUUGAUUGUCCAUCUCAGAUUCCAUAGAAGCUUGAGGUACAUGACUUUUGCCCAAUGAUGCUAUAGUUAAAGACAGAAGGAGAAAUUCCACAGAAGGAAGGCGUUGAAGAUGAAUCAACGACCAGCAAUCAUGCAUAUAUGGUCACAAGUGAGGAAGGCCAAUCGAAAGAAAUGCCAAAUUAUGCCAAGACGAAAAGGCUGUCAUCGACAUUCAAACAUCAUCAGGAGUCAGCAAAUACAAACUUUGGAGAAGAGUAAUUUGGUAUCGUUUCCAAUACUCCCCCUACUUGAACUCACAUUUGACAUAUUUUCUCCUAUUGACAGGAAGCAUCGGGAUUCAAGAACCAAGCUUAAUGGUUAAUUUAUGCCAAUCAAGUGACUCGUAUUUAAUUCACCUAACUUCAUGAAAAAGGAUGUGUUGUCUAGGAGCCGGUUUGGUUAAAUGAAAAAAGAAUCGUCCUACGGACACCGUCGGCGCCUCUAGCCGAGUGGUAUCCGGGAAGAAGCAAAAUGGUCCGAAGUCGGGGGUUCGAAUCCCCGACGCGGCAGUUAGCCGCUUGGUAAAAAAAUAAUAAAAAAAUUUUUGCUUAUCUUGCGCCUGCAAAUUACGAGAGAAUAAUUGACCUAACGAAACAAGGGACAUAGGACUUCGUGUCCCCCUUCUCACUUCAGGUUCACCCAAUCAUAUGCAAGCCAGUGAAGGGUAAAGUUGUAUCGAUUCCAGUUAUUCGACUCUUGAAAGAGUUCAUGACUAACACAUUCCCUCUUGUUUGUUGCAGGAUCACCUGACUGUCAAAAGCAAGGAUAAUGAAUCAAUGAGAAGCAUGUCUUGUUUGUUGCAGGAUUACUUGAUUGUCAAAAACAAAGAUAACAAAUCAAAGAGAGGCAUGAAACUCUCCCAAGCAAAAUGGCGUCUCAAGUAUUGCCAAAGCAAAUGACAGAAAAUCUUCAGGCCUCAACUCACAUUUGAUUUUGGCCAGACUAAUUGAGCUACUUAUACAUCUUCUCUUUCUGCAGGGGCAAAAGCAGAGAUGCCUGAUCAAAUUCUCAAUCCUUGGCUGAUCCUUCAUGUGUCAUAUCCCUAAUCAAUAGGGAUGACUAUCGACACCCAUUUGCGAAUAACCCUUUUGAUGUUCAAAAUUUAACAUAUUUGGAAACACCAUCAUGUUAAAGUUGUCAACAGGGUCUUUUUUGAGUCAAAACCAUUCACUUGUUUUGAAAAGUUCAAACUCCAUCAUAUUCAAAAUAUUGCAUGUCAUUUCCAGAUGAAUUCUGCAUGAUGAUUUUGUCUGUCUAAGUCACUGAUUCCACUAAGGAUUAUUAGAAUAGACAGCUAAGUGAAGAAUACAAGAUUGAUCGAGCAUGCUGGAUGAGGCACGUCAGGAUGAUGAAAGGCAAACCAUAUCCUACACACAAUCCCCCAUCUAUACACUUGUGAGAUGAGUGCAGAAGAUUCCAUGACUGUAGGGUAAAGAGUUCUCUCGCGAAUGGUACGAUAACCAAAACAGUGAGAGGCAUUUCAUUGCUCACCCCAUUGAGCCCCAUACACUGAUGAAAUUUCUAUCCUAUCCCUGUCAAGAACCACCCCACACUGGGGCAGAUCGGAGGCGAAGCAGCAUCACAAGGUGAGAAGAGAGAUAGAAAUUUUCUUGCUCGCACUUGCAUCAAUCUUCGGGUGUCCUUAUUGCAUAUGAACACUCACGUUAAUUUAAGUGCCCUAGAAUGACGAAGAGCAAUUCUUUCGCUAUGCACUUGUAUUCAUUGUACAACCCAAUUGAGUCUGUAAUUUCACCCUUACAUGAAGGCAAAAUAGAAGUUACUGCCAUAGCCCAGAGCGCCUAUUGAAGAUGAAGACUCAAGAGUCUAAUAAUGGUGCUUCGAUUGAACUUGCCUAGGCCGGUUCCUCUAAUGACAAAAAUGAAAAAAAAAACAUGGGCAUAAAAAAGCAGUGUACCUGGUAAAAGCAAGGUCAAUGCCCAUAAAUGAAGAACUGGAAUAAAAAAAGGGGCAUGAAAAAGCAGUGUGCCUGGUAAAAGCAAGGCCAAUGCCCCCUAGUCAAAAAUGCAGCCAAGAAAAUGUUGCUGUUGUGGUCCAUAGAACCUCCAUUUGACAGUGAGAAGAAAGACUGGUGACAAAUGCCAAGGCAAUCACCAGCUCUUACCCUUUUACACAUGAAUCAAGCCUACAUUGCAUCCCAUUGUAAAAGUCUCUUCAGACUAGGGGCACUUCAAUUAACGUAGGAUUUCAUAUGUCUAUAAGCAUCGCUCGAAGAAGUACGAGCAAGACUAUUCUAUCUCUUUUCGCAGGACUCUUGACUUGCAAACCUGGAGAUGAUCGUGCGGCACUUCGUUCAUGAGCCUUGACCUCGACGGUCCCAUUUGAUGAGCUAUUCUUCAUCAUAAUUUCAACAAAGACCUCUCACAUUGGUAAAGUCGUACCACUUGCGAGAAUACUCAGACCCCUGCUGACAUGAUGACAGUGAGAAGUGUGGUCCUUAUAAAUCCUGCAUCAAUGGUCAGGAUAGCCUUUUCCAUGAGAGUGAGUGAAAAGUUCUUUCAGACUGAAAGUCCCUCAUCUGGCAUGCUCAAGACAUCUACAUUCUAAAUGAAGGUUGUCUUUCAAAAUCUUCUCCAGUGAAACUCAGAUGAUACAAAACUGACAAAAUUGUCAUGCAUGAAUCGCAUUUAAACUCAUGAAUUUACAGCAUAUGCAAUCAUGUGUGCUUAUUGUGCAAAUAGCAGACAUACUCUCAGAGAUCAGAGAUAUUGCCAGGUAAGCAUAUCUCUAUCCCUAUUUGUCUUAAAGUACCUAUCACUGUCCAGGUACUCUCUUCUUGACACUCGACCUAUUCGAGUCGUCCCUUGAGUUUGGGUGCUUGCAAUUGUCUCAGUAUCCCAUGGUCUUUGAGUACCCACCACUUGCCGGGUACUCCCUCUUAACGACACUCGACCUGUUCAAGUUGUCUCCAGAGUAUUGAUACUUGUGCCUGACCAAGUAUCCCUUUAUCGUUGAAUACCUACUGCUGUCUAGGUAUCCCCACUGUCUUUGAGUACCGGCCACCGUUCGGAUACUCCCUUUUCCUGACACUCGACCUAUUCGAGUUGUCCCCAGAGUAUUGAUACUUGUGCCUGACCAAGUAUCCCUUUAUCAUUGAAUACCUACCACUGUCUAGGUACUCUCCUAUUGACACUCGACCUAUUCGAAUUGUCUUUUGAGUUUCGAUGCUUGCAACUGUCUUAGCAUCCCAUUGUCUUUGAGUACCGGCCACCGUUCGGAUACUCCCUCUUUCUGACACUCGGCCUGUUCGAAUUGUCCCCAGAGUAUUGAUACUUGUGACUGACCAAAGUAUCCCACUACUUUUGAGUGCCUUUCAUUGUCUAGGUACUCUGUUUCCGUGACACUUAACCUGCCUGAGUUGUCCCCAAAUAAUAUAGCAGCUGUUCAAGCAUUCCACUGCUUUAUGUGCCUGCGCCUACCCAGGUAUGCUUUCUUACACUUGGACCUGCUGAGUGGUCCCAGAUCAUGUCAUUAAAUACUUGUGUUCAUCCAAGUAUUCCGGUACUUUGUACUCCUGCGGCUACUCAGGUGUUUCAGCCCUUUUGAGUGCCUGCGGCCAUCCAGGUAAGCCUCGCGCUACAUUCAAGUUUAUGUUGCCAGGAGGUGGGAGACCUUCACGAAUAUGCGAGGCACGCCCUCGAUAUUCCCAAUUACCAGGAGGUGAGAGACCUUCACGAAUAUGCGAGGCACGACCUCGAUAUUCCCAAUUACCAGGAGGUGAGAGACCUUCAUGAAUAUCCAAGGUACGUCCUCGAUAUUCCCACUACCAGGAGGUGAGAGACCUUCACGUAUAUGCAAGACCCAUCCUCGAUAUUUCCACACGAAUAUCUCAGGUAUGCCUUGAUUCUUCCUUCAGAGUUUGUACCUGUGAUCGUCCAGGUACCCCUUCGAUGCUUGUGAUCAUCCAGGUAUCUCCCAAGAGUUUGUGCCUGUGAUCGUCUAGGUACCCCUUCGAUACUUGUGAUCAUCCAGGUAUCUCCCAAGAGUUUGUACCUGUGAUCGUCCAGGUACCCCUUCGAUACUUGUGAUCAUCCAGGUAUCCCCCAAGAGUUUGUACCUGUGAUCGUCCAGGUACCCCUUCGAUACUUGUGAUCAUCCAAGUAUCCCCCAAGAGUUUGUACCUGUGAUCGUCCAGGUACCCCUUCGAUGCUUGUGAUCAUCCAAGUAUCCCCCAAGAGUUUGUACCUGUGAUCGUCCAGGUACCCCUUCGAUGCUUGUGAUCAUCCAAGUAUCCCCCAAGAGUUUGUACCUGUGAUCAUCCAGGUACCCCUUCGAUGCUUGUGAUCAUCCAAGUAUCUCCCAAAAGUUUGUACCUGUGAUCGUCCAGGUACCCCUUCGAUACUUGUGAUCAUCUAGGUAUCCCCCAAGAGUUUGUACCUGUGAUCGUCCAGGUACCCCUUCGAUGCUUGUGAUCAUCCAAGUAUCCCCCAAGAGUUUGUACCUGUGAUCGUCCAGGUACCCCUUCGAUGCUUGUGAUCAUCCAAGUAUCUCCAAAGAGUUUGUGCCUGUGAUCGUCCAGGUACCCCUUCGAUGCUUGUGAUCAUCCAAGUAUCCCCCAAGAGUUUGUACCUAUGAUCGUCCAGGUACCCCUUCGAUACUUGUGAUCAUCCAAGUAUCCCCCAAGAGUUUGUAUUUGUGAUCAUCCAAGUACUAUCUCCCAACAAACAGAUGCCCUGAGAAAGGUCGGCGCAUCUCCCGUCAAGGCGACCGAAGAAAGGUUCGGGUCCUAGACAAAACAACUUAUUGCUCUAACAGGCGACCGAAGAAAGGUUCGGGUCCUGGAAAAGCAAUUCCCCGUCAAGGCGACCGAAGAAAGGUUCGGGUCCUAGACAAAACAAACUUAUUGCUCUAACAGGCGACCGAAGAAAGGUUCGGGUCCUGGAAAAGCAAUUCCCCGUCAAGGCGACCGAAGAAAGGUUCGGGUCCUAGACAAAACAAACUUAUUGCUCUAACAGGUGACCGAAGAAAGGUUCGAGUCCUGGAAAAGCAAUUCCCCGUCAAGGCGACCGAAGAAAGGUUCGGGUCCUAGACAAAACCAACUUAUUGCUCGAACAGGCGACCGAAGAAAGGUUCGGGUCCUGGAAAAGCAAUUCCCCGUAAAGGCGACCGAAGAAAGGUUCGGGUCCUAGACAAACUAACUUAUUGCUCCAACAGGCAACCGAAGAAUGGUUCGGGUCCUGGAGAAGCAAUUUCCUCAUGCAACAGGUAAGAUGACAUCUUGAUACUUGCCAAACUCGGGGUUCACACCCUAUCUCACUCACUCCCGGUAAGUAACUACAGGUAUCUUCUUAUCUGUCUCAGUAUAUGUAAAGUUAUAUUGCUCUUUUUUCCGCAUAGAAUAAUAGGUCCCAAAUAAAGUAUAAUCUGCUACGCAUGCAUGGAUAAAAUUGAGAUAUCAGUCUGUCUUUGAAUGCAACCUCUGCGAGCUCACCUUCAAAGAGGGGCAGCUGUUGACACCUCAAUUUUAAUUAGGUUAAUUUUAUUUUAUUAAUUAAAUUUUUAUUUUAUUUAUUUUGUCUUUUUCGGAAUAAUAAACAAAUAACAAAAACAACAAAAAAUAAAUAAAAACAAAGGAAAAAGCAAAAGCAACAUCCCCCCCUUUUUUUCACGUGGGCUCGCACGACCUGGCCCCCCCCCCCUUUUUCUCCUUCUUCUUCCUUCUUCUUCUUCCUCGCUCCUUCCUUCUCCGCCUCUGUAGUUCACGUGCAGCAACGACGACGCGCUCGAAGACAACCUAUGGCCGAGGAGGGUAGGCCGACGUCGGCCAGAAGAGACAGAUCUCGGGCGCCAUCAUGGAUUUCCUUCAAUGCCGAGCACGCCUUGUGGAGGAGCUCGGAUGGGAUGUUGGUUCGGUCGGCGGAGGCGGUUCGGCGUGCGAAGAUCGGCGGUCGAAGCUCCAUCGACCGGCCGCCCCCUCGCCUAUAAAUAGGCUUCUCCCGAUGAUGGCAAAGCACGGCGAGCUCGGAGACUUUCCCUUGAGAGACUUCAAGGGAGACUCAAAGAGCGAGCGCGCGAGAGAAAUCCGGUCGCGAACUCGAACGACCUCCCCCCGAGAGACUUCGGGGGAGGCCGACGACAAGCGAACCUGGAGAGAGAGGAACCGAAACAGAGAUCGAAAGCUUGCGAGCACCGGAAGCUUCCCUCGAGAGACUUCGAGGGAGGUCCGAACGCCCGCAAGCCCAGAUCUGUGAGCAAUCGAGGCCGGAAGAGAGGAGAGAGUUCCAGAUCCGCGAGGAGGGGCUGGAGAGAAGAGAAACCAGAAGGAGCCGCCUCGAGCUGUACCGCCGUCCUCCGACACUGAUUGCUUCAGCACCUACCCGCCGUUGCCAUCCCCUUUCGUCAGAUCUGCUGCAGCGAAGCUGCUGCCUGUUGCCAGCUACUGCUUCCGCCCCCUCAACGCAGAUCCAUCCCCGCGGACUUACUCCCCCGCCGUGCCGCGUCGACCAAAGCCACGCCAGGCACCGACUGAUGCAGCUCACCGCAGCUGCCUGUCGCCGCCGUUCGCCGCGUCGCCGGCGUCGAGUCAUCACCCGGUGACGUCCCAGCCAAGCCCCACCUCGGCGCCGCAAAUCGUCGAGCUCUAGGGUUCCCAAAAUCCGGUUCUACGAAGGAGAAGCCGGGUCGGAAAGCGGGUCGGGCAUGGGUCAGCGAUCGGGUAGGGUUUCCCCCCCCCCCCCCCCGAUGUGGGCCUGCGCGUGUGGGCCGGUUAAUCCCUGGAUUUUUUUUUUUAACGAAAAUGGGCCUUGGUUAGUUCAUGGGCUUGGAAAAAGAAAAAAAGGGAGAAAAAUCUGUGUCGGGCCCGCGUUGCGAGCCCGUCCGCGUGCGGGUCGCCGGCCCGGGUCGAACCCAACCCACGGAUCCGACCCGGGCCGGUUUUUAUAAUAUUUUGAAUAAAUAAAUAAUUUAUUUUCCAAAAAAAACAAAAAUAUAUAUUUUCUUUUCGAAAAAUAUUAAAAAAUAUUUUAAAUUUUCAAAAAAAGACAAAAAUAUCCAAAAAAUAUUUUAUUUUCCAAAAAUACUAAAAAAUGUUUUAAUUUCCAGGAAAUCGAAAAAUAAUGAUAAAAAUAUUUUAUUUUCCAAAAAAUCAAAAAAAAUAUUUCAUAUUUUCCACAAAAUGCCAAAAAUAAAAAAAAAGCCAAAAAUUCAUGAAAAAGCCAAAAAAUUCAUAAAAAGCCAAAAAGACUUGUAUUUUUCCAAAAAAAAAAUACCAAAAAAUCCCUUUUGUGUCCAAAAAAAUUAGAAAAUGACUUAAAAAAUGUUUGUCCUUCCAAAAUGCGUGGAAAAUCCCUCGAACAUCCAAAAAGCCUCAAGGUUUAAACAAGAUUAGGUACCGAAAGGGCAUUAGUGAUUAAUUAGUGUAAUCAAGUCCCCGAUCCUAAUUUCUCUGGUUGCGCAGGAGCGAGUAUUUCUCCCGAUACUUCGCUUGGGUUUCUAAUCAACCUACCCCAAAUUGAUUAGUGGCGACUCCAUUUUAAAAAUCAACUUGCAGGUUAAAAACUUAGACUAUUAAAGUCGUGAAUUGGUGGACUUGGGAGAGUCCGGGCAUAAUUAAAUCCAACCGAGCCAUUAGCCUCCUUUAGGCGCUCGCCCCUGAUGUGGGCGCCGAAAAAAAAAGAGGUCGCGACAAAUGUGGACCAAAUGAUCCUACUUCUAAGAAGCUCUAGGACAACAGCGACAUCCUCCUCGAUGGCGGGCAACACCAACACCACAACAACCCCCAUGGUGGUGGUCGUCUCCGUCGCAAUGGUCACUUAAGACCGCCGUAAUUGAGUCUCCAAUUCCAACUCCAACUCUCACUCCGGUAUUGAACCAUGAGAGUUCGCCAUCUUCGUAUUCCAUGAGUUCCGACCUCCACCAGUACAUGCUGUAGUCCUCAUCAAACAGUACAUGAGUAUUAUGCAAGAUUUAUUGCCAAGUUAAUAGGUAAGAGCAAAUAAAAGCUACAGAAAUUAGCAACAACAGGAUGGAUAAAUACCUGCAUUCCAGGUCUCAAUAUAAGAACACUCCUUCCAUAACGAUCAUGAAAACUUGCUCUGUAUACUUUUCCAGUUUCACCUUCAAUAGCAACUUCUUCCUGUUUUAGUAAGCAUCACAUUGUCAAAUGGAAGCAUUAUUCAGCGUCCCAAUAAGUACUAUUGCAUGUCUAACACAACCUGCUCAUUAGCCAUAUUGUCAACUAAAACGGUCUAAAUGAUGAUUUUGGAAACAGCAUGAGUCAAAAAAUAUAUUGGGACACUUAGUGUCCCUUGAACAAUAAACUCUCCAACACCUAAUGCUUCAUAUCACUGCAUCAUGGCAGUCUCAUAGAAGACACAAAAGUUGAGAGCCACUCAAUUAUUGUUGACUAACACCAAUCCUGCAUUCGCAUUCAUUCAGAAAAUCAGUUCUUUUCCAUACCAGGAACUUAGUCUACAAAAUAAAAUUAAUUAUCAGGUCAACACAAUAGUUAGGGUAACAAGGAUCGGAUGUCUAUUGAAGUUUAACAGGCAACAGCCAUCGGCAUAAAUUAUCUAUCACAAUACUCGCGCAGGUAUUCAUUCACCGGGACACUUAGCCAUCUUACCCAGCUGAUUUCCUCAGGCUUAAGAGUUGAUCUCCAUUUCAGUGUCUCAUCUCUUUGCUUUAUCUAUGUUCCAGUUUCAAGCUUCCAAGUAUCUCCUCAAGCAUGCAUCAUCACAAUACUUCAAACUUCGCCCAGAGAGUGGUCCCAUAGCUUUCUUAAGUCAUUCACCUACAUGCAAAUGGACUUAAAAUGUAACUGUAUUUCUCCAAUAUUCUAGGAAGGAACAUUGAUUAUCAUUCCACAACUCUAGAAAAUCAAUGCAUCAUGAGACAUUAAACACAUAUAUGAAAGGGGUACACAUCUCUGGCUCAGGGACUUUUUCUUCUUCCACAAUAAAGCAAAACACAAAUUCAGAGAAAGGGAACAGAGAUGCAGAAAGGAACUUGAAAACUCAAUGGCAACAUGGUAAUCAAACAAAAAGUCCAAAUCUCAUCCUGAGAAAUACUGUUCUUAGAUAGAGUUCCAGAAAGGAGAAACAAAUGGCACAUUCCAUGAAAUAGAAGGAUGACAGACCAGACAUUUACAAAGGAAAAUUCUCACAGAGACCAUGGAAAUGAAGCAGACAAUACGUCAAGCAUUCCGGAUGGAGUAAAAAAUCAAAUUGAUGUUUAUUAUCUAAACAAUCAUUUUGAGCACGUUGAUACACGUGGUUAAUCUGCAGAUUGCAUGAAAGCCAAAAACACUUGUUGGUUUCGACGCUUGGCCCUUAAGGUUGAUGAAAUCAAAAUCCAGGGAUACGAUAAAACGAGCCUACCUUUGCUCCCCACCCUAUUCCACAUGAAGAAAUUGUAGAAGGUGGAGACCAUGAGCCGUCUUCCCUACGAGCAACCACAAGGUCGGUACCAUCAUACCAACUUUCACAACAGUAAUAAUUGCAAGGCCUUUUUGCUUGUCGUAAAAUGGCAUCAGAAAUUGCCUUCUCAGGUUUUAGUGAAAACACCUGAGCAAUCAGAAUGCAUCAUAUAAUAAGCUUAAUAAUCACACGAGAAGUGCAAGAGAACCUAAUCAACGUACCUCCUGAGCUUCUUAGAAGCAGGAUCAUAGGCUUCACCACCAACGUUAGCCCCAUCAACCUUCGCAGCCUCGACCCAGCCGUCGGAUGACGAUCCAGGCUCCUCCUUGUCGCCGGACCCGUCAACUAUCUCCGCGGACCCAUCUCCGGGGGAGUCAACGAGCACGUCAGCGAGGAACCUAUCGCAGAACUCCUGGCUCGAAUCAGCCCUAAUCCCGCCACCGGCAACUCUACCGUCCUCGUUGUCCUUCAUCAGGAUGUUCUCGAUGAACCACGAGAGCCCCGAGCCUGGAGACGAUGACAACGCGUUCGUCGAGGAGCAAGCGCCGAUGACGUCGCUGGCCUCAGGGAGGUCGCCGAAGAAGCCGUCGAGCAUAUGCAACUCCAGAUCCAUCAUCAGAACACUAGGGGAAAAAACCAACAAAACAAAAAAGGGGGGAAAAGAAGAUGAAGGCGACGAUGGGAGAUCUCUACAAAAACAUCUUAUUUGCUCGCGGUGGUUCGCCGGUCGGAAAGAGGGAGGGCAGAGAGAGAGGGAGGUCGCGGUCCUCUCGCCAGUCUCGUGUAGUGGUUCCUCGAUUGCUCGCGGUCCUCUCGCCGGUCCCGUGUGGUGGUUCGUCGGUCGGACAGAGGGAGGGCAGAGAGAGAGAGGGAAGGAGGUCGCGGUCCUCUCGCCGGUCCCGUGCGGUGGUUCGCCGGUCGGAAAGAGGGAGGGAGCUAGGUCUCGCGGUCCUCUCGCCGGUCCGGUGCGGUGGUUCGUCGGUUGCCGGUCGGAAAGAGGGAGGGCGCAGAGAAGCCUCUUCUUCUCCUUCCUCUCGCCCUCCCCCACGAAGUCUCGUAACCACACGGAUUUCGGCUGCGGCUGCAACUGCUGCUGCUGCGCGGCGUAAUUCUCCUUGUCCCCGCUGAGCGUGCCGCCCGCGGUGUCGUGAAACGCCUCGCCGUUCCUCAACGACAGCGGCGGAGGGUUCACCGCCCUCCUCGGCCUCAGAUUCCACGGCCGCCGCGCCGCUUUGGCCUCCUCCGCCUUCCCGUCCUCGCUCACAACGCCGCCGCCUCCUCCGCCGGCCGCACGGCUCAGGCGCUGCCCCUCCGGAGGCGGGGGCUGCUCGUGGGGUGGGGUUGGGAUGCGCUGAGAAAAGGAAACAGAGAGGAGGUGCAGCUCGUUCUCUGCUCUUCACGAGGAGAGAGAGAGACGAAACCCAAAAUAUUCAAGUGAGGAGAGAAAUUUUAAGCGGGAGUCGUCCUUUCUUCUGCCAGCCGAGCUGAGCCGAGCCACCAGCCCAGAGUUAUUUCGGAGAGAGGAGAGAGACAGAAGCGCAGAAGAUGGAGAGACGCGAGAGGAGAGAGACUGAGUUAUUUUCUCCUCUGACGUCCUCGCCUACGUGGCGCCACGUGUCGAUCACUGAGUGGUUUUACCCACCGCCUACGUGGAGGGUAAAACCCACCCAAUAUUUUCUCGCAUUUUGGAGGCGGUAGGGCCCAAAAGGCAAUAUUAGUAUAAAGAAAUGGUGGAGGGGGUCCACUUAUUUCAAUCGAAAAUUGCAUGGCCAGUUGCGGGCCGGGGAUUUUGCUCUUCCGUCCAACAGCACCUUUGACCAUCUCUUCAACAGCUACUUUGAAAAUUGCAAUUCUGAAAAAAAAUAUUCAAAGCUUGCUGAAGGAUUCGGUUUCCGACUUCUUGAUAUUUUACAAGCGUGGUCAUAAACUGCCAAUACUCUGAAGAAUUUUGCCAACAUACGAAUGGAUUAAUAAAUUACCAACUUUUUAUCAAUAUUGUAAGGGAUUUAGUAAUAUCCAAAUAAAUUAGAUUUAUCAAUGUCAAAAUAAAUUAGAAAAUUAUUUAUUUUUUUUUUUAAAUUAGACAUGGUUCAUAAGUUUUUAGCGAUGUUAUUAAUUUACUUAUGUCAGAUUAAUUUGUAAGUAACCUCUUAGCCUAGUUAGUUAGGAUCCUUUGAUUCCACCUUCAAAUGCAUGUACUCAAUUCGGGCUUACUCGACUUCAAGGGAGGCUUUCCUCCUGGCGCCCCAUGAGGAUCUAUUAAUUUCUUUCAUUGAUCGAUAUACUUCAAUUUUUGUCCAUGAGGAUCUGUUAAUUUCUUUACUUGAUCGAUAUACUUCAAUUUUUUUCCUAAAUAAUCUAUUUUUCAGUAUAGAAUUUGCAUAUCAUGGAUAUACAUGUAAUUUGUACCUUUUUAACUAGAAUUUUUUCUAUAUUCACAAUCAAUACAAAACAACCUCUAUUGUGACACUGCAAUAUUUAUACAUAUAUGCUGACUAUCCAAUUAUGUUAGGUUAUUUAAAUUUCAGAGUACAUGAGUAAGUAUAUUUCAUAUACCAUUGAUUAAAAUUAUUUUUGUUUUGGGUGACUUACCGAAUUAGGAGGGUUGCUUUUUUAAGAAUAUUGGCUGCUGUUAGUCGUAAAACAAUUUGUACGAAUUUGGGACUAAAUAUAUAAUUGCGUAUGGUCAUGCACACAUUAACGUGACACUUUCAAGCUUUUUCAGCAAUUCCUUUUUAAUUUCUAUUUUACUAGGUAUCAUAUACCUGAAUAAAAAGAUAUUCUUUACUUGAAUAAUUUUAGCAUUCAGUUAUGAAGUCGCCCUACCAAUUCAAUUAUAUAUGUAAUUCAAAACCUGCACAUCGUCACAGGAUUAAUAGAUAUAUGUCUAUUUAAUAUCAAUAAGGUGUCUAGAACUCUCUGAGCAUCCAACUAAUCUCUAUUUGGUGUGAUGGUCCCUCCAUCUCACACACGUCAGGUAAUCACCGGAGACUUACAAAAGUGUGCUUAUGGGAGUGGCCACAAGAGAAUGUCCAAGUAUAGUGAUUUGAUCACAAGCUUUGACAAGAAAGAUAAACACACUUGCCACCUAUGAAGCACGGACACGUUGCCCGUGCUUCCAUGUCGUGUCCAACACUUGUCUGAGCGUGUCGGACACGUCAACACGCUAGGACACGGUCGGACACGCAGUCAACGCAUGUCGGAUUUUCCGACACGCGGUCAACGUUUCUCGACACAUUUUGACACGCAUGUCUGGAAGACGAUGGAUGGUAGAGGCAAGGGAGGGCGAGGGAGCAGAGAUGAGGCCGCGAGCGACGGUGAGAGAUGGCAAGAGAAAGAGCCAAACAAAGAGAAAGAAGAGAGAGAAAGCAAACUCCCUUAGAGUCAUAAUCAAAACAUCACAGCGUCAUGGCCUAGUGCGGUUGCAAAGAAAACUGAUCUCGGGCCUAUUUGGCUCGCGGUUUACUGACCAAAUCUACGAGAACCUUCAUAGAUAUUUUGAUGCGUAUUCAUAGAUCAUAUUCAUUCUCAGGUGUAAUUCCACUCCGAGGGCAGGUAUUUCUUUUAGGGAAUGAGCUUGACUAAAGUAGGGGCAAAUCUUUUUCAUUAGGGGCCUUAUUAGUGAUUCCCUCUUUUUGGUCCCCGGCCGACUAUUCUCUCCAUCGGUGAUAACAUAAUUCGACGUUGAGUUUUGUCAUCUGCUGUCACGGUUGCACCUCAUGGAGAAAUUUACUAGUUUCUUCUUGCUAUUCAUAAUGACUAUUUGACAUAUCGAUACAAGAGCAUAUUUAUUUUUCUAUAUGUCAUAUGUAGGUUAGGCUAGACGUUCGUCAAUAUGUACGUGUGAAUUGUAUUAAAAAAGUCUCACACCGGAUAAUUGAUGUGGUGUGAUUAGUUAAUUUAUCCGAGUUAAUCUAUAACUUAUUGGCUUAAAUUUUUUAGCUCAAAGUAGAUAUGUUGAUAGGUUCAAAUUUGGACUCUCUCUUGGCGACCACCCUGAACUCCCAAUGUGUGGUGUUUGGUAAAUAUCUCAAGGAACUCAAUGUGCAUCAAUAUUUGGUAAGUAUCUUAAGAAAGAAAUCUCGUGAUCAGUGGUUUUCGAGCAGCCUAGUGUUGUGGUGCAGCAUUGCAUUCUCGAUGGCAGUUCGAGAUGAAGGUUGGCAUUGUUGUAGUUGUUGUGACCUCACACGCAACAAAGUGGAGAUUCACAUGUGAAUUAAUGUAGAACAUACCUAAUAUUGAACUCACACCUGAAUGAGUGGGAGAUUGUUGAGUUGCACAUUUGCAUUGUAUUAAAAAAGUCUUACAUCAGAGAAUUGAUAUAGUAGCUAAUAUAUCAUAGUUAACCUAAAACUAGAUAUAUUAAAUGGCUCAAACUUAGACUCUCUUUGGCAAUGUCCUCAAGUGAAGCUAUCAAGCGUCCAACAGUUUUUGAGGUCAGUAGCUUUUUCCAAUGGCAUGCUUGAAAGGCAAUCGGAAGGUUUGAAGGCAAUGGUGCGGCUACAUUGUGCCUCUUAAUAGACUUUGUGAAGGUAUCAAAGUACAAUAGACAAUCAAGGACAGUUGCCUCGUAGAAGGAAGGAAAAAUAAUACAAAUAAUUCAUGAACUUUGGUCCAAUAUACAAUGUCAUCUUUAAUUUGUUUAACUUGGUUCAUGAACUAUUGGUAAAUGUUCAGUGUUAUCUUUGAACUUCUAAUUUAUUCAAUGUGACCUUUAAACCAUUGGUAAAUAUUUAAUAUAGUCAUUCUGUUUGUUCAAACAACAAUAUGAUGACAUGGAUUAUUAUAUUAUAUGCUGAGUUGGAUUUUUAAAAUUAAUGAGUCAAUAUAUCCGUCUUUUAUCCGUCUACUUUAAAAAAGGAAACAAACAAAUUAGGGACUUCAAAUAUCCCACGUGCAAAUUUCUUUUCCUAAUUUGAGAUAAAUAUUUUACGUGGAUAAUCCAUAUAUAAUUUGUCUACCAUUCAUAUUUAAUGGAAUGGAAGUCACGUAUUCCAUUAACUUGAAUUAACGAAAAGAUGACAUUAAAUAAUUUGAUAUAGUUAGGGAAUUAGAUUGAACAUUUAUUAGUAACUCAAAGUUCAGGACUACAUUGAACAUUUACAAAAGUUUAGACAUUAUAUUUAACAAAUUAAAAGUUCAUAAGUAACAUUGCAUAUUGAAUCAAAUUUUAAGGACCAUUUUUGCUUCAUUUUUCCUUAUAAGGAAAGUGAAAGUAGGAACGUCCUCUUUGGUUUCUUUGCAUCUUGCAAGGUGCUUCUCCUCCGUGAACCACCACUUGCAUGCACGACUGACGUACCACGCGUUUUCCAGUUGUCUUGUAGAUGUUUCAAACAUAUUUACCUUAUUAUUUGAAGAAGAAUAUCAUGUCAUAAUGAACAUAGUACAAGACACUAUAUAAUUUUUUUCAUUAAAUCUUUACUUAUCAAAGGCCGGCGAGUUAUUUCUCGAUCGAUGGGAGAAAUGGGCCAAAAAAUUGGGAAAAUCCAGUUGAAUAGAACCCGGUAUGUGUUGAUCAAAUAUUGAUCCAUUUGAAAUGACAUGGGUCGAAGUCCCAUAGAAUGUGGUGGAAGACUAAACAAGGAGUCGUAAAGGGAAGGUGGUGGGGGAAAGAGAGAGAGAGAGAGAGAGAGAGAGAGAGAGAGAGAGAGAGAGAGAGAGAGAUUUCUUUAGUGCAAGAUGAUUCUUUCAUAAUUUUUCUUUAGUGCAAGAUGAUUCUUUCAUAUUUUUAUUUUUCUUUAUUUAAAGGUUCCAAAGUGAAGAAAGGAUACGAUGGUUGAAGGAUUUUUUUUCUCGUCUUUCAGUUCAAAUACUUGGCUUCCAUGAUAGAGGAUUCUUUUUCCCUUCAUUUAAAGGUUCCAAAGCGAAGAAAUGAUGAGACGGUUGAGGAAUUUUUUUCUCAUCUUUCAGUUCAGAUACUUGGUUUCCACAAUAGAGGAUUCUUUUCUUCAAGCCUAGGGAUUCUUCCUCAAAUUAUUCAAAUUAUUAUUUUCUUCUUCAAAGUCAUCAUCUCCUUCCAACGCUAAAUCCAAACCCCAUGUCUCCCACCACGCUGACAUCUUAAUAAGCCACAGAUUAAACUAAUUCCUGCCGGUGAAGAUCUCUAACUCAAAUUUUCUAGAAGCCAUAGCGAUAAUUGCAUACAGACAAAAUAACCCUAGGCUUUGAUACUAGUUUUACAACUAAUGCGCAAACAAGAACAAAUGAAAAUGACUUAAGUAAAAUAUAAAUUGCAUAAAUAAAACCUGAACGCAGCGGAUUUACUUUGUCCAAUGGUAAAACCUACUUUAUGGGGAAAGUUAACAAGGUGGUUUCAUGAUAAUCGGCGAAAAAUGGAUUACGACCGCUCAAUUACACUCACUCAUAAGUGUUUCUCAAUCAUAGAGUUUCACAAGAAUCAGUCACAAGAAAUGAGUUUUCUCACACUCUCAGCUCUCUCGGAUGAUGAUUCUCAAUAGUCUCUAUGUCUCUCACAAGCUUUUAUACAUAUUAAGCACACUCAACAUGCUCAAAAGACCAACUGACCAAUAAAAUAGUUAUAUGCAAAGAAAUUAUCAGCCCGUAUUUGAUGACAACAUUGAUUUCAUCUUCAAUAAUGAAAAGAGUUAUUGUGAGAAAUUAAUGUCCCUUGUUGCAUCACCCACACUCCGAUUGGCAAGAGUCCAAUUUGGACUUCCUAAUAUGGCCUGAAUUGCUUUGCAAUUAAAUUAUGGGUCGAAUAUCAAAUCAAUCGGGAUUAACUUGGAUUCAUAAUCAACACAUAACAACGUCAUGGCUGAGUGCAUUUGAAGAGGCAAUUGAUCUCAAGCAUACUCGGCAAACUGAAUGUUAGCAAACAUCAGUUUAAGGGAGGGAUUGUUAAUAUAAUAGUUAUUUCCUUUUGCACGUGUUGUUGAUUUGGUUGUUCAGUUAUUAGAGUUAGUGGAGUCAUGUGUGUUGGUUAUCCUAGUUUUUAGGUGUUAGUGGGACAAGUGCUUUAUGGAGAACAUGGGUAGUUAUAGUUAUGGUGUGUUUUACGUUAUGUAUUUUGUCUUUUGUAAAAGACUUGGUUGUUCAGUACGUAAGAUGUUUUUUUAGUCUCAUCUCUCCUCCUUUUUAGCAAUUUAACAAAAUCUACAGGAAUAUUCGUAGAUAUUUUUAUGCUUAUUCAUGAAUCAUAUGUAUUCUUAGGGGUAGUUCCUCUGAGGCGGGUAUUUCUUUCGGUUAACGAAUUUGACUAAGAUAUAAGUAGGUGCGAAUAUUUUUCAUUAGUGGCCUUGUUAGUAAUUCCGGUUUUUUUGGUCCCUGGCCAACUAUUUUGUCAUCCGGUGACAACAUGAGUCAAUCUUGAGUUAUGUUGUCUACUGUCGCGGUUACACCUCUUGUAGAAAUCUACUUGCAAGGUGCUUUCAUUGGUCCCUUCUCUGAGAACCAUCACUUGUGUGCUCGGCCAGGGUACUGUAUGUUUUCCGUUAGUUCUUGUAGAUGUUUUAAAUACAUUUAUCCUAAUUUUAGAAGAAGAAUAUCGUGUCAUCGGGAACAAAGUAUAAGACACUGUAUGUUUCGUCACGUCAAAUUUUUACUUACCAAAGGCCAGAGUUAUUUCUCGAAGGGAGAAAUGUCAAAAAAACAAAAAACAUAAAAUAAAAUAAAAAACAAUAACAAAAGCGACAAUCCAGAAGGGUAGAACCUGCUUCAUAUUGACCCCAAAUCCGAUCUCCCCCAUUUGGCACGUCGAAGUCGUAGAAAUCACGAUGGAAGAUUAAAAGAGCAGUACAAGUGAAGAGAGAGAUUGAAAGAAGAAGAAAGGCGGCAGAGAUUUCUUUCGUGAAAGAUGAUUCUUUCAUAUCUAUAUUUUCCUGUUUCGAGGAUACUUUUUCGCUUUAUUUAAAGGUUCCAGGGAGAAGAAAUCAUGAGACGGGAGGAUUCUUUCAUUUAUUCCCUUCAUGUUGAGGAUUCUUCCUCACCUUUCAGUUCAGAUACUUGUCUUCUAUGACAGAGGAUUCUUUUCCUCCAGCAUGGGGGAUCCUUCUUCAAAUUAUUCUUUUCUUGGCCGAGGAAAAAUGAGAUGGUCUUCACGACCUUUCUUGGCCAACACCUUCGUAUAUAUUUUGGGAGUUUCACUCCAUCUCAUUCAGACAUCUGUCGCAUUUCCUAUCUCGAAUUUUCACCGUCCUUCACUGUCUUCUUCCAGCCAUUAGCGAUCUCUCUCUCUCUCUCUCUCUCUCUCUCUCGUUCAUUGUAUUCAUCCUAUUGAACCUUUCCUCUUCUUCAGUCGUUUCGUUUUCGGGAUCCAUCACUUCAGCCUUCCUCAGUAUAUAUAAAUUCUUGACUUCCAUUUCUCUCCAAAGAGGAAGGAAAGAAAAUCAGAAAGAAAUAAAAAAGCGGGAAAAUGGCGGAUAUUGUUCAGUCUAUAGCUUCCAAAGUGGCGGAAUACCUGGCGGCUCCAAUUGGUCGUCGAUGCGGCUACCUGAUAUUCUCCAACAGCUACGUUGGCCAACUGAAGGAAGAACUUGAGAAGCUGGAUGACGCGAUGGUUGGGCUGCAGCGCUCCGUCGAUGAUGCUGAAAACAACAUGAGGGAGAUAAAACGCGAAGUUAACAGAUGGAAGAAUGAUGCAGAGACUGUUGCCAACAAGGCACGCGGCAUGCUGGAUGACGAGGGAAGAGCCAAGAAAACUUGCUUCUGCGGGUGGCUUCCCAACCCAAAGGAGCGUUAUUGUCUCGGCAGGGACGCGAGGAAGACAGCCCAGGCCAUCCAGGCACUCAUCCCACAAGGUAAAUUCGAGAGGGUCUACUAUGAGAGUGAUCCACCGGGGCGUGUCGCUGGCACUCCUGAUGUGAAUUCGUCAGCUGGUGAUGGGGGUGACACUAUUGUGGACUCGCGAGCUUCCGUCUUUCAGGGCAUAAUGAAAGUUCUGGAUGAUGAGAAGCUAAGAGUGAUUGGGGUCUACGGGCCUGGCGGUGUGGGGAAGACUAAGCUAUUGGAGGAAGUCGAGAAGAACCUCAGUAAAGAGAAGGGACCGUUCCACAUGAUCGUUAAAGCAAAAGUGUCGCAGAUUCCUGUCUCGAAGAAUAUCCAAGAUGAGAUCGCUGACGCCUUGAAACUGGAUCUGAAGGACGUGCAAAGCGAAAGCGGCAGGGCAAAUCGUCUGAUGGAGAGAUUACAGCGGGAUCCAAGUGAGAAGGUUCUCAUAAUAUUGGAUGACCUAUGGGGGGAACUUGAUUUGAACGCGGUUGGAAUUCCUUCAAGAGACAUUAACGGGAAAUGCAAAUUGUUGCUCGCAUCGAGAUUUGAAGAUGUGCUGAAGAAAAAGAUGUCUGCCAAUAAAACAUUUUUUCUUGGAGGCCUAAACAACGACGAAGCUUUCGGGCUAUUUGCAAAGACGGUCGGCAACAGGCUCGAAGACGAUAAGGAUUUGAAAGCAAUAGCAGCUCAAGUGGUCAAGAAGCUUGCAGGUUUGCCUCUUUUGAUUAUCUCCAUUGCAAAAACCUUGAAAGAAAGCCCUGUGUCCGCAUGGAGAAUCGCACAGAUAGAAAUAGAUGAGUCAACUAAAGAAAUACAAGAAACGAUAGUGAAGUUGAGUUAUGGCCAUUUGACGACUGAGGACGCGAAGUGCUUAUUCUUGCUCUGCGGUCUUAUUGGCGGGACCAUUCAUGUCGAACUUCUAUGGGUAUUAGGCAUGGGGUUGGGCUUGUUUGAAAAAAUUAAUGAGACGAUACAAAAUUCAAGGGAGAGAUUGAAUAAUAUUCUGGAUAGCCUCCGUUCCAUUUGUUUGUUGCAGGAUGGAGGCGAUGAUAAGAAAAAUGUGACCAUACAUGAUCUUUACAGUGAGGUGAUCAUCUCAAAUGCAUUUAGUGAUCAGAAUUGCUUAAUUAUUAACAGCGAUUAUGGCUCAUGGCCGAGGGAAAAGCUUGAGAAAUGUUGGGCAUGCUUAGUGAAUGUUGGCAAUGGUAGGCGUGCUGAACUAAUGUUGCGUCAGUUUCCCCAUGUGAAGAUACUUAUGUUGUCGGAACAAUACGAUAUGCGAGAUUGCAGUAGAAUGGAUUUCACAUAUAUGGAGGAGCUCCGAGCCCUAUAUCUUUGCUCCAUGCAUAUCACCAGUUUACCUUCCUCGAUGGAAAUCCUCAGGAACCUCCGGUCAUUAGGUAUAAAUUGCUAUGUGGAGGAUGUGGCAAAUCUUGGCAAGCUCAAAGCACUGCGGAUUCUCAGCUUCGAUGGGUCUAUAAUUUCUAGACUGCCUAAAGAAAUCGGGAAACUAACAAAUCUGAGAUCAUUGAAUCUGAACCAUUGCUACUCGCUUAAGAUAAUCGAGCCUGGAGCCCUAAAAGGCUUAAUCGACUUGGAAGAGUUACAUAUGAAGAAAAGCUUUGAUCAGUGGAUGGGCAAGCAUGAAAUACCCUCGAAAUCGUGUCGUGUUGGGCUUGUCGAGUUGAAGAACUGGACAAAGCUAGCAUCUCUGGAAAUAUCGAUUUGUCAUCCCAUCAUACUCUUGGAGGAUGAUGACCUACCAUUUGAGAACCUGGACAAAUUUUGGAUCGACAUAGGAAAUAUUGGGUUUUGGACCGACAUACAAAGUUUUGGGUGGAGGGAAAAUGAAGGUUUGACAACCAUGCAGCUCAAUCUGGAAGGGUGCGAUAGUAUUCUUUCAAGAAAAUGGGUUAAGAAAAAUCUGCAGAAGACUCAAUGCUUAUAUUUAAGCGAGUUGAGUGAGUUCAAAGAGAGCCCUCGUGAAUUGUGCACCCAAGGAUUCCGAGAAGUGAAGUAUUUCAACAUUAAAGACAGCCCCUCAAUCAAGUACAUUGCCGGAUCAUCCAAUGGCCUCCCUCUCAUUGCUUUUGGGAAGUUAGAGUCUUUUUUCCUUGAAAAUCUUAUUAAUUUGGAGAAGAUAUGCCAUGGCCCCAUUGCGCCAGAGUGUUUCAACAAAUUGAAAGCCCUGAGGGUCAGACAAUGUGACCAAUUGAAAUACUUGUGGUGUCUUUCAGAUGUGCAAAGACUUGUACAGUUGGAAGAGAUUGAAGUGUGGAAAUGUGACUCAAUGCAAUCAAUUGUCACACACGAUGCAGGAGAAGAUAUAGUUUCUACCAAUAACAAAGUUGAGUUGCCUAAUGUACGUCAUCUAGCAUUGAAUGAGUUACCAAAUAUGACAAGCUUUUGCACCAAAGCUGAAAUCACUUUAGAGGAUAUUCCAAUCCAGGUAAUUUUCUUUCACUUUUUCCCUCUGUCAAUUUGUCCUAUUAGGAUGAGAUGAUAUUGGUGUUCACUCAACGUUAGUACAUAUUGCAUUUUAACUUUGAUUAUUCAUACAAUUUUAUUCGCGUUUUGAUUUACAAAUGAAAAAUCAUCUCAAAUAGAACACAGGUCAUAUUAUAAUUAGAGGGAAGCUGCUUUCCACAACUAAUUUUUUUUUUUUUCAACGGUAGAUAAUUGGACCGAUAACUAGGGUUUCUACUGUGACUAAUUUAUUAUUUAUUUAACAUUUUUAAUGAGUUGAAAAAAUAGUAGUGUGAUGAAUGAAUGAAAGCAAGAAUGAAUCUUGAAUGAAUAAAUAAAAUUCAAUAAUUUCAAAAUGAAGAAAGCGACGUCUAGAGAUUCAAUAAAUGGAUGGCGAGCAAGAAGCGACGUAACAAAGAAAGUCCCCAUGACUGUGCAGUUGUGCGGCACUAGCAGCAUGAUAGUGGUGAAGAUAUCAUCAUGAAAAUCAGAAGAGAAAUUCAUUGUUUUUUUUUUUUGUAUUUUAGCUCGAGAGUUUCACUUAUUUUCUCGUGAAAAUAACUUGAAUUGAACAAACUCACCUUUAAUGAGUCUCAUUGUGGUGCUUUGUUAGGUUUCUUUGCCUCACUUGGAAUCCCUGGUAAUGGUUGGAUUCAUUGCCCCAGAAAAGAUACUCUAUGGUGAACCCUUAAAAAAAAACAGCAAUAUGAAAUUGCUAAGGAUAGAAGAGUCUAAAUCCACGUCGAGUAUUCCGAAAGAUCGGAUACUCAAGCUGCCAAAUUUGGAGUCAAUGAAUAUUCAUUGUCGUAAUUCAUUAAAUAAUCGGUACGAGUGAACGAAAUUCAACAAUCUCAAAAUGAAGAAAGUGAGAUUAAAUGAAUGAAAUGCGAACCAAGAGCCACGUAACAAAGAAAGUCCACCUAAUUGAUGUUUCACCUACAUGCAAGUUGCAAUUGAUUCCAACACGUCAUGACAACCUCACCGUGUCAACAUUGUUCUGCAUCCAUCAUCCCUUUCUUCAGCUACUAAGGGGAUAUUUCCUUCUCCAUUCUUUCAGGCACGACAAAAAAUAUACAUGUUCCCCACUCUGAUCAAUUAAUUUUUGAAUAAAAUUAAGUUUUUGACAUUCUUAAGAGACAUCAAGCCCAUUCAUGCAUUCAAUAUCCAUUUGUUUCAUUGAAAAUUCAUUAUUGUUGAAAAAAGUUUUCUUGGUAAAUCGUUUUUCUAGAAAAUGAAUUGUUUUCUGUAUUUGGUUCUACCGAAAACGUAAUUUGAAAAGAUAUUUUAUGAUGUUUAUUAACGAAGCACAAAAAUUUACAAAGUGAAGACAAAAACUGUUAUGGAUCCUUAAUAGAAAAAAGCCCGAAUAAGUCAUAUUUACUUGUUCUUAAUGAAAACCAAUAAGUUAACAAAAAAUUUAUGAAAAAUUGAACUUUGAUAUGAUUUUGUUGUCAAUUUUGAAGUUCAAAAUAGAAAAAACAAAAGAAAAGAUAACCAAAUUAUGGUAGUUGUUUUGAAGAUGGGUAAAUGAUUUCAAAAGAAAAGAUAAAAAAUUAUGGUCAUAGUUUUCAAGAUCAGCUAAAGAAAAGAUAAAAAAAAAAAGAUGAUGACAGUUGAGAGAGAGAGAGAGAGAGUGUGUGUGUUGUGCGAUAGUAUUGCAUUUGCGACAUGAUAGUGGUGAGGAUAUCCUCAUGAAAAUGAUCCUUUUUCACAGGGAAUUCAUUUUUUCUGUAUAGUCAUUUUCUUGUAUCCAUGAGAAGUUUGAAAGCAAUUUCCUAAAAAUAGCUUUACUUGAAAGAAACUCACCUUUAAUGAGUUUCAUUGUGGUGCUUCAUUAGGUUUCAUUGCCUUGCUUGGAAUCCCUGGUGAUGGUUGGACUCCUUGGCCUAGAAAAGAUACUCUAUAGUGAACCUUCAUUAAAAUACAAUAAUCUGAAAUCGCUAGAGAUAGAGGAGUCUACAUCCACGUCGAUUAUUCUGAAGGAUUGGAUACUGAAGUUGCCGAAUUUGGAGUCAAUGAAAAUUGCACGCACUCCAUCUGUAGAAGUAGUUUUCGACCUAGAGGAGCUAAAAGUCAUCAAAGAAGUGGAGAUUCUCUCUCGGCUAAGUACAUUGCAAUUAUCUAAGUUACCAAACCUGCGGCACAUGUGGAAACAAAAUGUACAACUACAAGGAAUAUCGAUACUUCAUAACUUGAAGAAGCUCUUUAUCAAAAAUACAGGACUAUCAUUUCUCUUUCCGCUGUCUGUGGCUAAAUGUCUUAGAGAAAUUAGAGACAUUAAAGUGGUGAAUUGUCCAAAUAUGAAGGCGGUGAUUGUUGAUGAAGAAGGAAGAGAUGAUGGGAUAGAUGAUAUUGUAGAGUUCCCAUUAUUGGAGCGACUAUCUAUAAGCCGCUGUCCCACGGAGAAAUUCUUCUCACAUCCUCAUGGAACAAAAGAGUCAAUAACCACUACUUCAGAUUCACAAGAUACUUAUUUGGAUUCCUUCUUUGAUCAAAAGGUAUGAAUCCUUUCUUUAGAGCUUACGCCCAUAAUAGACACCCAUAAUAGUCAUAGGCACGCGAUUGGUGGGGCAAGUAUUAAUAUUUUUUUUUGAAGAUUUUUUUUAUUUGGCUUAUUAGUUAAAAUGUUUUUAUAAUUUAUAGCUACACUUGUUAGAGUAAGCCCAUUGAUGAAAAUUCUAUCCUCCACCGCAUUAGAUAGAUCGGUAUAUGAUUAGGUCAAAUUGUAAAAUUUUUCAUAGCUACCAUAUAAUGUACAACUCUUAUGAGCAGAUAAGUUUACCAAGCUUGGAGAAGUUAACACUCCACUCGCUAGGAUCCUCUUGCCGUGGCUAUGGGCUCGGCCUCGCCAUUGCUGGGCAAGGCGUAUGGCACAAUGAGCUUCCCAAAAGUUCCUCCGACAAAUUAGCCAAUCUCACCCCAAAACAAGAUUUGCAAUCACAAGGAACAUCAAUAUUUCAAAAUUUGAAGGUGCUCUCUAUCAACAAUACAGGGCUGUCAUUUCUCUUUUCGGUGUCUGUGGCUAAAUGUCUUAGAGAAAUUAGAGAGAUUGAAGUGGAGGAUUGUCCAAAUAUGAAUGCGGUGAUUGUUGAUGAAGAAGGAAGAGAUGAUGGGAUAGAUGAUAUUGUAGAGUUCCCAUUAUUGGAGCGACUAUCUAUAACCUACUGUCCCACGGAGAAAUUCUUCUCAUAUUCUCAUGGAAAAAAUGAGUCAAUAACCACCAGUUCAGAUUCACAAGAUACUUAUUCGGAUUCCUUCUUUGAUCAAAAGGUAUGAAUCCUUUCUUUAGAGCUUAUGCCCAUAAUAGUCAUAGGCACGCGAUUGGUGGGGCAAGUAUUAAUAUUUUUUUGAAGAUUUUUUUAUAUGGUUUAUUAGUUAAAAUGUUUUUUAUAAUUUAUAGCUACACUUGUUAGAGUAAGGCCAUUGGUGAAAAUUCUAUCCUCCACCGCAUUAAAUAGAUCGGUAUAAGAUUAGGCCAAAUUGUGAAAAUUUUCAUAGCUAUGAUCUGAUGUACAACUCUUAUGAGCAUAUAAGUUUACCAAGCUUGGAGAAGUUAAUACUCUACUCGCUAGGAUCCUCUCGCCGUGGCUGUGGGGCUUGGCCUUGCCAUUGCUGGGGGAGGCAUAUGGCACAGUGAGCUUCCCAAAAGUUCCUUCGACAAAUUAGUCAACCUCACCCCGAAACAAGAUUUGCGAUCACAAGGACCAUCAAUAUUUCAGAAUCUGAAGGUGCUCUCUAUCAACAAUACAAGGCUGUCAUUUCUCUUUUCGGUGUCUGUGGCUAAAUGUCUUAGAGAAAUUAGAGAGAUUGAAGUGGAGGAUUGUCCGAAUAUGAAUGCGGUGAUUGUUGAUGAAGAAGGAAGAGAUGAUGGGACAAAUGAUAUUAUAGAGUUCCCAUUAUUGGAGCGACUAUCUAUAAGCCACUGUCCCAUGGAGAAAUUCUUCUCAUAUCCUCAUGGAAAAAAUGAGUCAAUAACCACUACUUCAAAUUCACAAUAUACUUAUUCGGAUUCCUUCUUUGAUCAAAAGGUAUGAAUCAUUUAUUCAGAGCUUACGCCCAUAAUAGUCAUACGCACGCGAUUGGUGUUCAAGUAUUAAUAUUUUUUUGAAGAUUUUUUUAUAUGGUUUAUUAGUUAAAAUGUUUUUAUAAUUUAUAGCUACACUUGUUAGAGUAAGGCCGUUGGUGAAAAUUCUAUCCUCCACCGCCUUAGAUAGAUCGGCAUAAGAUUAGGCCAAAUCGUCAAAUUUUUCAUGGCUAUGAUCUGACGUAUAACUCUUAUGAGCAGAUAAGUUUACCAAGCUUGGAGAAGUUAAAACUUGAGUCGGUAGGAUUGUCAAAAAGGAUAUGGCAUGGUGGGCUUCCCAAAAGUUCCUUUGACAAAUUGGCCGAAUUCACCCUUGAAAAGUGCUCCAACCUACUUGAUGUCUUCCCUUCGACAAUCAUGGGCAGAUUGCAGAACCUCAAAAUAGUCGAAGUUUCAAGAUGUCCAUCCUUGGAAUCGUUGUUUGAUUUUGGAUCCCUUGAUUCAUAUACGGAACAAAAAAUUGUGUUGCUCCUCAAAUUGAAAAAAGUCGAGGUUUUAAGCUGUCCCUCCCUGGAAUCAUUGUUUAAUUGGGGGCCCCUUGAUUCAAGUAUGGAGCACAAAAUUUUAUUGCUCCCCAAAUUGGAAGAAGUGGCCAUGAGUGGAGUAGGAAGGCUAAGACACAUGGUGAUGAGUGAUUCCCAAACUGUUUUGGGUUUUCCUAAUCUAAAAGAAGUCUAUGUUCACAAUUGCUUUGAGUUGAGAUCUCUCUUCCCCAAUUAUACGAUUGCAACUCUAAAGAAACUCAACACCCUGUGCAUUCUCAAAUGCGAACAAAUGAAGGAAGUGGUUCCCAAGGAAGAAGGUGGUUGGUCCAAGGCAAAAGUGAUAAGUUUCCCUUCCUUAACUAUUUUGGUUAUUUGGCGAUGCCCCAACAUUAGAGCAUUCAUAUGGAGUCCUACAAGUGCCAAGAGGCAGUUAGGUGAAAUGAUUGAAGAAAAUGAUGAAUCGCUCCAACCGUUGUUCAAUGAUAUGGUUUGCUCUAUAUCUUAUUGUGAUCAUCUUUAAUCUCGCAUUAUCAUGUUUUAGAAUGAACAAUGUAAUAAUUUGUCCUACUUAUUUUCUUUUCUCACAUUAUCCUCGUGCAGGUUACAUUUCCCAAUUUAGAAAAACUAUAUAUUGGAGGUGUCCGAUGCAAAGAGUUAUGGAACAAUCAAAUUUCUGAUGAUUCUUUUUGCAAAUUGAAAUAUUUUAUAUUGAAGGAUUGUGACAAUCUCCAACAUAUUGCCCCAUCCCAUAUGUGGAAGAGGCUGCAGGACUGUCUGGAAACCUUAGAAGUGAAAUCAUGCCGUUCAAUCGAGAUCAUAUACGAGAGUGAUGGGACGGUGGCAAAAAGUGGUAAUUUGAGGACGCUGGAUUUGCGUGAUCUGGACAACUUGAGGCACAUUUGGCAGUACGACAAUCUCCCAAACAUCCCCUUCCUAAAUUUGAGAUACAUAAAGGCUGUGAGGUGCUCCCGUUUGGAUAUGCUUUUCGCCACCUUCACGGUGAAAUUUCUCGAGCAAAUCGAAGAGCUAGUGGUAGGGUCAUGUGAAGAUAUGGAACUAAUUGCUGGCCAUGAAGAAUGUGAAGAAGUGACUGGUGAGACAAUCACCUUCUUUGGGUUAAUCACUCUUAGACUUUACAAUUUGCCGAAAUUCAAGAGCUUCAUACCAGAGAAAUACUCUGUGGAAUUCCCAUCCUUGGAUGACUCGAGUAUAAUAGAGCUAGACCAAGGCAACCAAAGUGCGGAGGAAAGUGAGGGGGAAACUGAGCAGUUAGACCGCGUAAUUGAGGAGUUAGACAGCGAAAUUGAGGAGGUAGACAGUGAAAUGAGGAAGAGAGUGAGGGGCGAAUAAUUAGUUUUAUGAAGUGAGCCACAAAAGUUUGUGAAUGUUGCACCGAAUGGUGUCUGGCAAAACAAAAUGGACGUGUCUGGUAAUAUGAGAUUUUGUUUUUUUUUUCUUUUGCAGUCUCUUCUACACUUCCCGCAAAGUGUGUAACUGUUUUCUUGGCUAUUCAUUUCUUUGGUUUGUCUCCUGGGCUACAGUGAUGAGUGCCCAAUCAUUGGACCAUAAAUUGUGGGGUUAUGCUGUAUAAAUUCUAAUCAAGUGCAUUAUCAUGUUUAUAAAUUUUCCCGUAAUAUUAGAAAAUGUAUGUGCUAUUAUAUUAAGUAAUCGAAGUCAUGAUGAAUUACCUCAUGACAACCGUCACAAGAGGAAGAAGGAGAUCAAGGAGAUUGCAAUCUGGGAAAGCCCAUGUUCCUCCUCCCAUCUCUCUCUCUCUCUCUCUCUCUCUCUCUCUCUCUCUCUCUCUCUCUCUCUCUCUCUCUCUCUCUGUGACUAUUGAUGGAGGCCGAAACUAUUUGAGUUUGAGGGACGGUAGUAUGAUUUCGAGUUCGACAAAGGUUGAAUGUAAGUUGAAAUUGGUGAUAACAAGGAGUCCUUUGAGUGGGUUGAGUAUUUGAAUCUUCAUGAUUCUAAUCAAGGUAAACUUCGCUCUGUUUCUCCUGGAGGAAAGGAUCGAGUGCUUGAUUCCGCCGGCGUGAAAUCUGGAACUUACUGUCCUGAUGAACUCAUUCAGGUGCCCUUGACUGAAACACCUACCAUAUGUUUGAUUGAAUUCCUGAACGGUACUGGCAUGCAUAUUUUGCAAGUAUUCUUGCAUUGUGAUGAUUAUCUGGCAAUGGCGUGCUUAAAUUGAGAGUUCUCCAGGGCAUAUGGUAUUAUUUUCGUUGAUGUUGGUUGAACUCUCCCGGUUGUGCUCAAUGCUCCCAUGACUGAGAAUUUGAACAUGCCGUGUUGGCUUAAUUUACUUAGAAUUAUGUUUUCCUUAUCAAUCUACGAUGUUGUAUAUGGCUAUUUUAAUAUUCAAGACAAUGACCAUCUUUGAAUUGGAAAUUGUGAAAUCCUUCUUCGAAAUGUGCAUCGUUACUGUGUACUUCAAUGAAUUCCUGUGCGGACUUCAUCCUUUGCUUGAUCUCGCAUGUAAUUGGUUUCGUAUGCCUGGAUGAUUUUGCCUUGCAUUUCUCGAUCUGUUCAGUGAUACCUCAACCCCUUCACAUCGCCAAUGAUAUUCGGUUCAUUUUUUUGGGCGAAUGCAUGGGCCUGUACCUCUUUGAUUUUCUUCAUUUACUAAAGAUUCUGAGGUUCAUUCCUCGAUGUCAUUUGCUUGUAACUUCUCUGUGAAUGGCAUGUGGCACCCCUCGACAGCCCCUGAUCCGAUAGGGUCGCCACAGUUCGCUUACCUUUCACUUUCCCUAUUAACAUGUUACUUUGAUACCAUUUCAAUUGCAGCAGGUCCAUACAACCAUGGGGGUUUACAUUUUUUUUUUUUGAUAAGUCCCUUGCGCAAUUCAUAAAGCAGAAGCACAUCCAUCAACUCCCUUCCCUAUAUUCAAAAAACGAUGCACACCAACUAAACAUUUUAUAUAAGUCAAAGCCGUACACUCUUAUUUACAUAACUUGAUGGAUAUCAUUAAUCGAUACAUCAAAAUGCCAUAGUCUUUCUAUACUUUGCUAUAUUUCAAAAGAUGACCGACAUCUCUUCCAACAGUCAUAUACUUAAAGUCCAUCGAUCAGUGUCGGCGUUCAAAAGUUCCUUCCUCUGCUAUCCUCCUCCUCGCGGCCAUAUCCAACCACUCGGACCAUCUACUGGUGGCGGUGGCGGCAGAGGUAUGUUGUCUAGUCUGAAACGUUAGUCUCCAAACGGGGUGAGUACAACCACUCAGCAGUAAAAGAUUCAUCAAGCUAUAUCAAGCAUUACUAUUAAUAUCCAUAUUCAAGUAUGGUAGACAAAAUAGGCAAUCCAUAAAUGAGUAUGCAUCCCAACCAUAUAACUCUUCGAUGCAAUGACUAGUGCAUUUCCAACCAAUAAGAUGCAUCGUGUCCAGCCACACAAGUCCCGAUCAUGGGGCCAAACUGUGAUGACAUGUCCCAUUCCAUGCCUUACAAUUUAGUCCCAUAACCAGACCACACUCACACUUAAUAUAAUCAUCCGUUUUAUCAUUCAAAAGGUUUCAUCCCCCAGAGGACCAAUGUUUGCAUCCUUCUGGGAUUCCGCACCCAACCUGGCAUCGCGGAAGCCUCCGGGCAUGUAUUCAAAAUACAACCAGGCAUCCAAAGGGCAUCGGCUCAUUCGAACCUCUGGGCAUCUCGCACCCCACCUGGCAUCACGAGGAAUCACUGGGGACCAUAGACAUGGUUACCCCUAACCUUCGAGCAUGCAUCAUAAUACAACCCCUCACCCUCCGAGCAUGUAUCAUAAUACAACCGGGCAUCUCGACACUCCCGGGAAAAACCUUUGGGCAUGUAUUCAUAAUACAACCAGACAUCCAAAGGGCAUCGACUCAUUCGAACCUUUGGGCAUCCCGACUCCCGGGGCAUCGUUGACCCGAGGGUUCAACGGUAACAGUUUAGCAUUUUAAUUCACAAAAUAUUCUCAAAUGCUAAAACAAGACGUCUCAUGGACUCUCUAUCACAUCUCAAUAUUGCACAAAUAUUUACAGCCAUUACCAUCAUAUCACAUAGCCAUUCGAAAUACCUUCACUUUCGGAUACUUUUGUAAAAUUCAAGAGCAGAAUAGUCCAAUUUUUACAAUGCACAGUUCUGGUAGGAAUUUUGAAAUAAAUACUAAAUGGACUCAGAAAAUUACGAAAGUUUGACAUGUUAUCAAUGAGACCUAAAGGAACAAAUUUCAUGAAGAGCACAAAGUCAAAUUCCAUACACAUCGAGAGUAAAAACUUCGGUAUUUCUUGCUACAGUUUCUGUAAAAUUUCCAGACUUAGCAUUUCCGUAUGAAAAUCAUUUAGUCGGCAAAAUCUUGUCCAUUUAUGCUAAAUUUUUUAUAUGUUACUCUCACAGAUGUGUUCUCCAACUUUUGUUAAGACUUCGAAAUCAGAUUUUGGCUAGAAAAUUCCAGAAAAAUCGAGAAAUCACUGAUGGUCAUGCUGUUCUUGCGAAAACAGUUUACUAGCCUAAAGAGGACUCUUCCUAUACUUUGAGUUUCAGUAUCCAACUUCCACAACCAAGAUUUAGAAGCACGUUACACCACAAUACAGCCUCUUUACUUCUCAAAAAUUCACCAUAGCUAAAUCCUUGAGUUCUCAUUUCAAUUUAAAAGCAAAAUCCACCAGAAACUUGCUCCAAUACCUCGGCCAGCUUCAUCUCAUUCAUCACAAACAACAUGCAGCUCCAAAUCUCACAUUUUCUCACAUCUACCCACUCUUCACUAGAUAAAACAGCAAGCAAAACAUAGGUUGAAGAACUUCUACUUGCCUUAAACUCUCUCACUCGGUGGCUGUCCGAAAAUGGAGGUUCGGGGGUCGCGGCUUGACCGGUCGGCGACGGGAACCGGUGGCGAGGCGGCGGCAGCUCGAGCACGGCAGAAGGUGGUCCCUUCUUCUUCUUCGCCGUUCACCCACCUGCUGCUCACUCGCGAAUUUCCUCGCUCGAUAUCUCUCUCUCUCUCGGUUCUGCUCGGUCACUCUCUUUAGUUCACUUUCACGAGCAGAUUAGCUGCUGGUUUUGCUAAAAACCAGCCAACAAAGAGGGGGAUUUUCGGUGGAUGCAUGCAUGGAGGACAGGUGGAAGAAGUGUGUCUCCAGCUGGGUUUUCUUGACCUUCGCUGGUUGCUCCACACGAAGCAACAUGGCCUCCUCUGGCCUUGCUUCUCGAUUACCAUUUACCAUGGCCGCUGGUUUUUACUUAAAACCAGUCAACUUAAGGGGAGUUUUUCCAUGGUUUGGCCGCAUGAAGGGCAGCUGGAUUCGUACGUGUCCAGCAUGCAUUUCUUCCUUCGACACCUUGCUCCUCCUUGCAACGUGUCUUCAGCUAUUUAAUUAAUUCUUUUCUUAAUCCCAAUUUGCUGGCCGACCGUGAGAAAGCAACGUGGCAUCAAUGGUCAGAAAUUUUCCUCUCAUAGUUGACUAGGGUGUCGACCAAAUGGAGAGAGGUUCGGGCAGCUUUUGGGCGCAGACGAUUCCUCCUUUUCCGCAUGGGUGUGCAUGUCCCUCAUGCACGGCUGAAUUCAAUUUCUUCGGCUCAGAAUUUUAAUUAAUAGAAGUCCAAAAUUUUCCUCUCAUUUCGUAUACAUUUUGGUGGUACAAUUGUGUAGUGUCAUCAAAGAAAUUUGCACAACUCAAUAAGGUUGAAUGUAGUACUAACGAUGACGAAUUCCAAUAGUAGCUUCAUCAAUCCAUGACGUUUCAUCAUCAUUCAUUUUUUUUUCUAAGAUCGACAAAAUAUGGAUGAGAUUGGUCUCACUAAUAACCUUAUGUAAAGAGGCUUCUGACAAUACUCUAGUCUAUCCCACAAUUGGACUAUUUUCUAAACGUGAGGUAUCGGUCCAUUAAUGAAAUAAAACGGAGUUCACACAUGGUGCCAACGACACCAUUCGACCGUACUUCCAUAAUCAGUCAUGGUCAUCACAUAUCCGAGGGUUGUCGAAAUUCUCGGGUGCCACAUGGCAUGCGAGUCCCUGUCAUACUGACAUUCGAUGGCUGAGUGCAUAAUGAGUUGUUUAUGCCAUGGCCGAAUGCUUUGCUCGAUUCAUUGUCCACAUUGCCGAUUUGUAUGCAUGUUCAGUUGUUGCUGAACGAGUCUCAUCCAUGAGAAUUGAUUGUAGAAUGUGGCUCAAUGUUGUUUUCCUGUGUUACGUUGCUAUGCGUUUCAGUUUUUGUGGCAUGACGUUCUUUGAAAAUGUCUCCGCUGGAGCCACCCGUGGGUAAUUAGAAUGCGGUCUUUAGCAUUUGGUCCCAAGAGUUCCUGUUGUGUAAAAUCAAAGUUGUUUCCAAGUUAUUCAAGUCACAUUAGCAAUAUAUGUUGGAUUCAUGUCGACUCCAUGUUGAUUUCUUAUAGAGUUCAAUGUGUUUUUUGCAUCAUAUGUGGGCUAGGAUUGGAUUUGAUAGAUCUUGGUUUCAUAUGAGGGUUAAUUCGGUAGCACAUGAUGGUACAUCGACAUGUAGAUGAUUUCUCAUCAUUUUGUAGUUACUAGUCCCUAUCUAUCUAAAUCAUGCUCAUGCAUCGUCAUUCUACUACUCGUGUUUCUCAAUUUUUAGUAGUUGAAAUUACCUCAAUAUCGUGAGCCAUAUUGCUUUAGAAUCCAAUGUGAUUAAUUUACAUAUUUGAUCAUGUUGUAAUCGUAUUGGGAAGAGUGGUGGGAUUUUAGGAUUUUGCCUCCCACCUAAGGAAAUGUUUGGAAACUAGCUGUCACAACCAAAAUUUCGGAUGCAUCACCUAAAAUUGGACUAAUGGAUUGUUAAGCCUAAACUUAGCUCGGCUCUCCCAAGCCUAUACCAAUUCGCGACUUAGGUUCAAAUAUCUAGCAUGCAAAAGGGAGUCGCCAUUAAUCAAUUUAAUGAAGGUCGAUUAGACACCUAAGUAAAAUAAUACUCCUACAAACCAUAUUUUGGGUACGGGGACUUGGUUACACUAGACUUCUCUAAUGCCCUUUAGGUACCAUUUCUUUUAUUUUUAAAAAUAUUUUUUGCAGGCAGCUUGGAUUGAUUUUAAAUAUAUUUUCCUAACACAUGAGGUGAUCAUAAGGAUGUGCAAACCACCAAUUUAAUACUCAAUAAAACAAUGAAUAAAUUGUAAACUUACCUUAUAUUAACGAAAGCAUCUGCAACGUUAAAUCAAAAUUCACAUCAUCAAUCCUAGAUAUGAUUUCUAAUUAACACGCAAUCACUCAAUUUUUAUUUUCAGCAACCACUCAAUUUUUAUUUUCAUUUAUUUAACUUAUUUAACAAGAAUCAUGCUUUAUGCAAUGCGUGCUACUAAUUUAAUAUGAAAUGAUAUGAUAUGGCAAUAUCACCUAAACUAUAUGACAUAAUAAACAUGCAGUCUAUUCAAAAGAAAUGCAAUAAUUAAAUGUGUAAUCUAAAUUAACCUAAUGACUUAAUUCUAAUGACGGGCAAUUUCUAAUUAAAUGAACCUAACAACAAUUACUAAAUGAUGUACGUUUCAUGAACCUAAUUCUAGAUGACAUGACUUUUUUUGUAUUUUUUUUAUGAAAAUUCGUAAUUAAAUCACUACAAAAUAAAAAUCUAACUAAAGUGAAAUGCUAUCUAUUCUAAAUGCCUUCUAAACAUGCAUUUAAAAAAAAUAAUAACUAACCUAUCAUGCAAUCAAUCCUAAUCUACAUGAAUGCAAAUGCAAUUUUUUGUAAUUUUGGGAUAAACAAAACAAUUAAAAGAUAAACAUCAUGAUCAUCAAAAAUGCUAUCCACCAUUUGAAUCGAAAUUCAAACUUGACUAUUUCGCUAAUAAAAUCGAUAAAUUGAUCUUAAACCUUAAAAAUCAAGAUAUCAAUUUUACUCCUGGGUGAAUAAUUAUUCCAUUUAAAGCCUUAUGGAUGGGAUUAAAAAUUCGUGCGGUUGCGAAUUGGAUGCUACGAUUUCAAUUAGGCAUCAAGAAAUAUUUCAAACAAUGAGACAAAAUAUCAAAAACUAAAUAAGAUCAAAUAAAUCUACCUAAAAUAAAUCUCUACCUAAAUUUGAAAUUUUACAAAAAAAUCCAAUUGGUAGAAUGGACAACGAUGGAGGCUCGGCACGGCAUGGCUCAAGGGCAGCGGCUGUGGUGAAAGGUCACCCAAGGAAAGGUUGUUGCUAGUGGUGCUAAAGGACAAGUAUUGCUCGAAAAUUCGCUGGGAUUGCCGGGGCGGUGACUGGAUUUGGUCAAGGAAGACCUACAAUAAUAAAAUUCAAACGAAAGCAAAAUAACUGGAUCGGUGGAGGUCUCGGGCACGUCAAGGACGCCUGGAAAAUCUGCAAGAAAGUCGUCAGGUGCGGCCAAGCUGCAUGCGCAUGUCAGAAAGGGACGGGCUGGUGUGGCAAAAUUGGCCGAGAAAGCUGAAGAUCAUGCAAGAGCAGACAUGCAAAGAAGCAUAUGGGCUAGAUUUUGCUAUGGUUCAGAAAUAUGUAUUUUCUCUCAUUCCAUAUUGAUCUCCAAGCAUCGCCAAGUGGAGCCUUGUUAGAGCCGCCAAAAUCUGAUCGUUGUGAGCUUUCAACCAUCGUCAUCGGAGGCUCCUUGGCGUGUGAUCAUCCGAAGGUCGUACCUCGGCUGGACAGCAAAUCGUCAUGGACUCUCGGGACAGCAACUUCGUCAUCGGCACAGCAAAACCAGAGCAGCGGUGUUGUCCUACGGCAGCGGAAGACGUCUCGUCCAGAGGGAGCGCGGCAAGAGGAACGUCCCAAUGGUGCGGCCUCUCUGCCGUGCUAUGGGUUCCGAAUUGCCGGCCCUCUCUUUGUUGACUAUUUUGUCCUAUAGCCGUCUCUAUUUUUCACGAGAUUGUGGCCAUCAUGAUGGUCAGAUAAUGGGAUAACCCAUGUGACCAUCCAUGAUAACGAUGAAUUGUAAAAACAAUAUAGUGGAGUAUGUGAUUUGCUCGAAGAAAAAGGGGGCAGAAGCGUGAAUGUGAUGAGGGGAGGAGAGAAAUAUUGUAAAAAGUCUGAAUUGACACAGUCGCUUCUCUCUCUCUCUCUCGCUACCUCUCACACUUUUUCUCUUUUUUCGUGAAUGAACGCGCUCUCCUCAACGUGGCCGCUUGUAUCAAUUGUGUGGCCCCAAAACUGUACGUGAACAAUCUAGGGUUUCAAUUUUUCCAAAUCAAUAUCUACAGAGAUUUUUUUUUUCAAACGCAAUAUUUAUUUUACCGAACGCAAUAUUUACUUUUCCACUUGCUCUAUCCAAAAAAGAAUUCAUCAUAUCCUAAAAAAUUUCAAAUUUCUAUUUUCACAAGAUAAUCUUUUAUCAUUAAAAAAAAGGGAGCUUGCACCAAUUUGCUCACUUUGUGGGCUUAGUCCGACCUGCCAAGUUAAGGUUCAAAAUCAUUAAUUUGAACCCAUCCAUCACCGGUCCAAUAAAUAAAUGCAAAAAAAUGCAAAUUAAAAAUAAAUGCACAUAAAUCUAUAUGUUAUGCAAUUAAUAUUUUUUUAGAAUUAAAAUUAACCUCUAAUUUUUAAUGCGAUAAAUGAUUAAAUGGGUUGCUAAAAUUUAGGUGUCAACACUAGCCAAAGGACCAACUUUACCGUCUUGGCUCAAAUGGAUCGGAUAUUGCAUUAGGUGGCCUCUCAUUUCCAUGGGAUUAUGUUGGUCCUCAUCCGCAUAAGCCCUCCAAUUCCGUUUGGCUAUUUUGUUCACCCUCUUCAUGAGUUCAAUGCUUUGCAACUCCCUGAAGCUGUCCUCUAAAUCUCCCAAGUGCUCCACCCAAAGCGACAUCCUAUAACCAUAAGCCUGCACAACAUCAUUAAAACAUUAUUAGUCACAAGCUUGAGUUUUUGAUAAAUGUCGAUGCACUCGCUGGGUGUUCAGCUAGUACCUGCUAUUAAAUAGAUGUAACCACAUGGAAAUAUGACAUACUUGAACUUCAUACACAAUUCCAUUGUUGUGCCCUUUGAAUCCAAAAUCAGUGGUAUUAGCUAAUGCAAAAUUCUCAGUGGGACCCACAUACACUCUACAUCUCGCGGCCCUCUGCAGAAUUCUCUGCCUCUCUUCCUGUCUCUCCACAUCUAAUGAACUGAGUCGCUUUCCUUUUCAGCUCAGGCUUGGCGCGCUCUGAAGCAGGGGGCCAGAACAGAAACAGAGGACCUUCCAACACGGAAAAGGAGCUCAACAAAUUCUCUCUAGCCCUCAGUUAUUCCUUUGAUCUUCAUUCCCUCUUCAUUGUCCUCUCUGUCACCCUCCAUCCACCAACAGCUGCUGCCACACCUCCAUCGCUGGCCACCACAGGACAUGUCACACUGAGAAGGGGCAAGAACAAACAGCGUUGAUUAAAGGAACUCGGGUGAUUUUUGAGCAUUUAUAAGGCUGAGAAGAACAGAGGGCGAGCUUUAAUUGACACCGUAGACUGAUGCUUCAACGAGGAUUAUCACCGUAGACAAAUGAUGUGGACAAACAUGAAGAGAUUGUUAAGAUGGAGCUGACUGAAUAGUGAUGGCUAUGUUCUUUUUACUGAAGGCAACGGGAAAGAUACAGUUGGAGUUUUGAUUUGGAUCCCUCUUCCUUGGUGGCUCUUAUACCAUGGAAAUAUUUCUAUGAUUUGCAAGCGAGAGAGAGAGAGAGAGAGAGAGAAUCAACAAAUACUACACCUUUACUCAAUAGCCGAAUAAAAGAGGAUAUAGUAGCUCCACUUAUAAAGCAUGAGAGACAUUAACAAAGCUUCGAUUACCUUAUUUGUGACCACCUGCUAACUGUCGACUAAUUUUCAUAAAUAUACUCCAACACAUAUCACAAUUGGAGCAAAUACUUGACAGUGUUUUUGCAUGUUUUUCCAGGAUGUUAGUGCGUCAUUUUCAAAUAAGUAUCCACAACUGUACAAGGAGGGAAUACAGAAUUCAUACUUCAACUGUAGAGUUGUGGCAGCCUGGUCUGUUUCUGCGGUCUACCAGUCUCUCGUCCUUUUUCACUUUGUGACAGCUUCUAGUUCUACUGGUCUAAAUUCAUCGGGAAAAAUGUUGGGCCUCCAGGACGUCAGCACAAUGGCAUUUACCUUUAUGGUUGUCACUGUAAACUUACGCCUUCUUAUGAUGUGGAAUUCAAUAACAAGAUGCCCUCAUUUCGCUGUCAGUAGAAGCAUCCUUGGGAUGUUUGUUUUAUUUUAUAUGUUCACUUAUGAUGGUGAGUCUUCUCCCUUUCUGGGGGUUCUUUUCUUCCCUUCACCUCAUCUAGUCCUCUUUUGGAUAGCAAUUAUUCUGAUAUUCGUCUUAUUACUUGUAUGCGCAAGAAAGUCUCUACCAUGUCAUCCACGUAUUAAUGAGUACAGUCUACUUCUACCUGACAUUUCUUCUGGUUCCAAUUGUCGCAGUACUUGGUGACUUCUUAUGCCAAGGGCAAGGUUUCAGACUCAUAUCUGGCCCAACAAAAAACAGUCGGGCUUUUUUGUUCUUAGACAUAUUUCUCGUUUAGAAACAGAGAGAAACACUGUAACAUAGUUCUCAAGUAAAUUUGCUCAAGAAUACUGAUUGCGAAUCUGCAAUUUCGCUUUUCUAAAAGUAACAAAUGUCGUUUGUCAUGGAAAUUAUAAUGGAGGACCUCCUUUUUCGCUCAAAUAGCCUUCAUUAUCUUCAUUGUCGAUUUCGUGGGUCCUUUUUUCCCUAUUUGCUCCGAGACAAGAUACAGGGCUUGUCAUGUCCGUACUUUUCCAGUUUCUCAGAUGGUUCAUCAUUUGGGAAUUGUAUCUGCUUCUCUCUCUCUCUCUCUCUCUCUCUCUCUCUCUCUCUAACCCCUCUUCCUCCUCUCUGGGCUGAAGAUGGUCUUAUUUCCGGAAUGCGGUUACAGGAUAAAUCCAUAUAUCAGCCUUAAUUGGUAUAAGUAUUUAUUGGCUUGUGGGAACUUGACAGCUCGCUCAUCUCACGCGAUUGAUUUCUGGGUUCACCAUAUUCUAUUUGGCGGAUUCUGUUUAUUAGCAAUGAGUGUUUUCUUUAAGUAAUUGCAAUGGAUACUUCCUCUGAUUAGUUUCUUUUUUUUCCUUCUUUUUUUUCACGCACUAAUUUUUCAUGCACUUGGUUAUAGGAUUCAAAGGUGGUUCUUCCCAUAUGAUUAUCAGAUAUUAUAGGAAUUUCUAUGGGCACAAGCCACGGGAUGAGGACAAAGCCGAAGACAUUGCCCAGGAGCUCUGAUUUACAGAUAUGUUUCUUAGUACUGUAAAAUGAAAUUUUUAGAUUGUUCGAGUUUCUCUAUUAUUGUCAGAAUCACAAGCAUACGAUCUUUAGGAUUCUGCCUUCCAAAAUUCGUACCCAUCCCUAAACGGAAGGAAAGGGAGGGAUGUGAUGAUAACAGACUUCUGGACUCCUUCCAGACGCCAAGAGUAUCGCACGUUUCAGAGCAGUAGGAAAGCGGCUUACGUUAAUUCUGUUCGUGCAUUUAUGGGCUAGUUCUAGCCCAACCGCAAAGUCCUAAAUGCUUUUCAGUAAACGUUUUUUUUUAUAUCUUCCUGUUCAUUGUUUCUUGACAAAGCUCGCUUCACAAAGGAGGCUUACCUUUUAUUACGAGCCACGCUGCUCAUUUCUCGCAUUGUGACUGCUUAUAUGGCUGCAAUAAGGAGUUCCUUUGCCUGUUCAUUAAUUCUCUGGUCGCUUUUUCUCUGGUUGAGUGGGAGAUCUGUUAACUGUUAGGUUAUUUUAGGUGCUACUCUGGGACCCAUCGCUGGCUGCAUCCCGAAGUUGUUUGAGGAUGACAAACUGACCAUGCCUCUGUCGAAAAAGUCGGGUGGUUUCCUAGGAAUUGCUAAAAGUGUGAUCGUUGAAAGCACCUCAUUAGUUGAAGAAGGACAUUUUCUCAGAUUUUUAUAACUGAUUCCAACCGUGUCCUAUGAUCCCCUUCCAACACAGAAGUCUAUUAUAUUCUGUAAGCAAAAGCCGUUGCAAGAAUCGCAUAUAAUCACCUUAACGAUGGACCAAAUAUCUCAUGAGGAGCUGAUGAACUUGGCCAAGUUUCUGAGACACUUGACUGCUGGGAUUCGUCCAACUGUUCUUCAUUACCAUCGUCGCCAUCAUCAUUCUCGAAAACCAUCUGUAUCCCAUGCUUUUUCAGCGAGAGCCCAGGAAAGUAUGGUGGGUCUCGCAGGACUAUAUCUAUUCCUGUCUCCUUUGAACAGCCGAACCAUUGGCUUGAAUUCUGGAUGUCUAAUCUAGUAAAGCUGGUCUUGGCUUGUGUCAUUUAAUGUCUGACGUGUCUUGGACCUUCAAGCCUAAGAAGCCUUCCUUUAAUGUCCUCGAUUGCUGGUAGCAGAAUGUUUGCCCGGUUUGCACUGUCCAUAGAGACAACAACAGCGAAAAUCAUUCCCUCUAACCUCGCGGUUCUUCUUCGGAGCAGCAAAAUGAGGAACUUCCUGAGAAAACCAUCCAGGAAUCUCACUCCCAGGGACACUCGAGUUGUGAAAAUGCUUUAGAGCAACCUGAAAUUUCCCAUGGAAAAAACACAUUUUAAGGUCAAACUAUCUGCAUUCAUGAUUGAAGAUACUGAACAAAGGUGGAGAAACUGAACUGGUGAUCUUCAUCCAUCUUUUUGCCACAGUUCAAGUAGUUUUCCCAAAAUGGGAGUUAUGAGUUAUCUUUUUCACCUUUUCAAUUCGUCUCUCCCAAGAGUAAAAGCCUCAGAGAUUUCAAUAUCCGGAGACCAGUGACGUCAACUAGAUUGCUGCAAUCAGUAAAGUUUGGCUCCUUCAAAUCAGUAGAAUUCAGAUGAUCGGCGUAAAUUUGAAAUUGAUUAACCUCAACUCGGGAUAGUUCUCGGAGAUGAUGGCCACGACUGCGCUGAGUCGCGGAUCGCCUCCAGAAGGCCCAACGCUAUCUCCUCCCCUCGCUUGAGGCCUUCUUCAUCGAGCCGGAGCUGCAGCACGCUGCUGAGCUCGUGCUUGCGGUAGAGGCAAUCCACGAUGCCAUGGCAGGGGUGUCGGCGCCGCAAGAGCUGAGGAAGACGUCGCAGCGGAAGCGAGAUGAGAACAUAGCGUCGUCCUCUUCGGGAUCGUCUGUCAGCAUCGUUGUCUUCGGCUUCUUGGUCGGCCUCACUUGGGAGUCGCCGGUCUUUUGACAGAGGCGGUCCAUGCAUUGAUUGGGGCACCACUUAACGAUGAGCAAGGAGCAACGAGCACCUUACUGAUAGAUUUGUGUUCCCUUUGAAAAAACUAAAGAGCGAUUUCCACAGCAUGGGAAAUGUGCUGUCUUAAUUUUUAAUUGACAAAUCAUGGCAUUCUCGUUAGUUAAAGGAAAAAUUAUCAAUGUAUGGUGAUCAAUUCAAUUUUAAAUUUAUGUAUUAAUUUAGUAUUAAGCAGUCAUAAAUAAUUUAAUCGUGUCAAUUUAGUCUUAAAUUUUUUAAAAAUUAUAAAUGUAAUCUUUUUGGGUAAUUUUUGUUGGAAAUUUUCUUUCUUUUUAUUUUAUAGUUUUCUUCUUAAGGUCAGCAAGUCCACCGGUCACUGGCCGAGGGCCAGCAGCCCAGACACCCCUGUAAAUAAAAACAAGGAUGGUAAAGAAAAUUAAAAGUUUUAAGGAAAAAAAAAUUCAAGUACUCAGAUUGAUAGUUUAUGCCAUGACAUAGCAACAUGUCUCCUCGAUACGUAACAAAAAUUAUCACGACAAGGAUGUUCAUAUCUACUCCGGUUAAAUGUAGGAUCGCAAGUUUGUCAAUUUAGCCUGAUUUGGUUUUCAAUUUCAAUCCUUUAGACUAAAAUUAAUUUGACCUUGGGGCUGCACGCCUUGCACGUGCUGGUGUCGGAGAACGUCAGCACCUCCCUGCACCGACGGUUGCGGCACGCCGACGUCUUCUUCUCCCUUGGAUCGCAGUCCCCGAACCUCUCUUGCCUCUACAAGAUGACCUCUCUGGUCUUGAUCUGCACAUGAUUUGCUCGUUUGCAUGUAAAAAAAAUGUGCGAUUCAGGAUCGAAAAAUUAUUGAACAAAUCUUUCUUUUCGUAUAAAUUUUUAAUGGAUUGGCCACCAAAAUCACAAACUCGAUUGCGUCAUGAUCCGACGGAAGCAAUCGAAGUGAUGAAUUACCUCACGACAACCGUCGCGGGUGGAAGAAGGAGAUCGAGGAGAUUGCAAUAUGGGAAAGCCCAUGUUCCUCCUCCCACCUCUCUCUUUCUC